Molecule: long non-coding RNA, 61391 nt
Filed under: Coffea arabica (coffee)
Lineage: Eukaryota; Viridiplantae; Streptophyta; Magnoliopsida; Gentianales; Rubiaceae
Description: long non-coding RNA (CARA_LNC000980)
Source: RNAcentral
UUUUUUUUUUUUUUUUUUUUUUUUGUGGAAAGGGGGGUGGGGGGCAGAUUUAGAAAGUCAUCUAAAAACACAAUCAAGGGCAGGGAGGGAACACUGUUUGAUUACUCUAAAGUAGGCCCUUAGGAGGCAGCAUCAUUGGUUGACUUAAUGAACAUGCCAUCCAGGGGCUAUGAAUGGAUUGCUUGUAAAUAACCAGACCUGACAUAAUCAUGAUUUAAAUUGCUAAUCCUGUUCCUGUUUUGGAAUGACAUAUCAGUCACAAAUUUCGGCUGCAUUGUGCAGAGUUGGAAUUGCGAAGAAGAAAGUAUCUCAAAUCAAAUGUCCCUCGUGAUCAUUUUCAAUGUAGAGAGAUAGGUAAGGAUUUUUUUUUUUUAUUUUAAUUUUUUUGGGUUGAUUAGGUAACUAAACAUACAGUAGAGGAAACCCUUGUUCAGUAACCUGGAAAAUUGCAUCCACUAGGCAAAAUCAAAGCCUUAAAGGACACCAAAAUGAACUAUCUAUGAUAGUUGGACUGCUGGACAAUGGCUGCAAAGCUCCCUCACUCCCUCUUCUUCAAUUGGCUCAAAGCUCCUCCAUGCAUGAUCUGCUGUUGCUGUUGUUGCAGAUGUGUCAACUGAAUGGACCAUUGAAAUUGUUCUUGAUGAUUCCCCUGGCACCUUAUAACCAGCCAAGAAAUACAGAUGACUUCCAGUUGGUGCCAUAGUUAGGUACAGCCCUUGAAUGGGUUGGAAGUCUUCUUCACCACCAUAUUUCAGAUAUGUGGAAACUGGAGAUGGAAAUCUUUUUAGUUGUGACCCUUCAACCACGUUCCAUGUAGUGAGUUUUCCGUCGUCGAACUCAAUAUGACCUUUCCAUGCACUCAGGCAAUCCCCAGAGCCAAACAGAUGGCCAGAAACAAGGUCCCACUUGCCACUCUGUACAUUGUACACCUCAGCCGAGCACCCAUCUAUGUAAUACGAUUGGACGAAUCCACCGACCACGUGGACUUUCCCUCGCCACGUCACACCUACAGAUUUGCACCUUAAUCUGUUCGUGUUAGGCAGGGGAGCCCAUUUAUCUGUCAGGGGAUCAUACACUUCAGCGGCAGCAGUGCCCCUGGCACCAGCCAGCGCGGAGUGCCCUCCAGCAACAUAGAUCUUGUUGUCACAGACAGUGCCCGCAAAAUCAUAUCUAGGUACGCUAAGGGGUGCACAAUUAGGCCAUUCCUCAGUGUGGAUAUUGUAGCAGAAUACACUUGAAAGUACUUCCACAUCUGUUUGUAGCCAAGUGAGGACUAGAUAACAAGAAGGUAAAAGUAAAUCUGUUUGUAUUUCUUGAGAUUUAGUACCUUGGGAUCAAAUUCAAGGGCACUGCUCGUAAAUCAGGAUCAUGCAAGCAUCAUAACAUUUGCCACGGUUAGAAUGGAGUUGAGUUGGUUACAAAAUCCAAAUACUCGAAUUCGAUACAACCAAGAAGUCUAGUUUAUUAUCGUUUAAUUCAUCCUGGUCAAUUCUGAGAGUAAAGGCGUUUCUUUCCCUCUUCCUUUUCCUUCUUUUUAGUUAAUGCCAUCAUGGGAUGAAAGAUUGUACACAUUUGGGCAUGGCUUAGAGUGUGUUGCACAAAACAAAUCAAGUGAAAUCCAAAUGAAGAUGAUUGCUACUAGGAAAGCUAUAUAUACAUAUAUAUAUAGGCGGACACAUAAAUGUUUUAUACUAAAAAAAACUAGUGGUUUGCCGACACAUUAAGUCUAACUAAAGUGCAAACUACAUCUAAAAUACUGUUAGUGAUCAGUACAAAAAUCAUGCUCAGGAACAUACGGCCUUUUUUUAAUUUGGAAGAAGGAACACACGACCUCAAAUCAUAGACAAGUCUAAUCAUUCCAUGGUGUUCUAUUCCUCUCUUUCUAUCGCCACUCCAUUAUCUCUCAUUUUAUUUAUGCAAUCAAUCACGUUUAAUUAGAACUUAAAUAAAAGGGAAAAUAUAAAAAACCUCCCCCAAAGCUUCUCUUAAAAUCACAUAGCACUCCUAAAGUUUUAAAAUUAUCACUUAAUCUCCUUUACUUUUUUUUUUUAUUUGUGUUAAAAACCCUAAACUACCAUUUUGCUCGCUAAAUAAAAAUGCUCGUAAGUUACUUUGUCUGUUUCAAGAAAACCAUCACCUAAAAAAUAAUCUCUAAUAGUACUACCAGGGCACAAUGCUAUAGUCCAUAAAAGUACAAAUAUGAAAAACAAAAAAGAUAUUUGUAAAGAAAUACACUAGUACCAAUUUUAUUCUAUAUGCUCAAAAUUGAUUUCUUAUGAUCCUUAUAUUUUUUUUCCAACUUCUUCGCAAUCCGUGUCCAAUCCUUUAAAUUGUACUGAUCAUUAUAAAAAUCAAUUCAAAAUAAACAAAAAAAAUCUUACCCCACUCUAUCACAAUCACAAAGGUGAAAGAUAAACAAAAUUCAAUUUACUAUAAUUUACAAAUAAAAAUCGCAUAAUCAUCAAAAAAAAUGUGUAAGAGAGAAUGUUGGAGAAAGAAGAAAGAGAAUGAAGUGACUUAUGUUUCUUUUUUUUAAAUUUUUUUUGAGUUACGUUUAUUUGAUAUGUGAAUUAUGUAUCAAGUGAGAGUUAAUAUAAUCUUUUUGUAAUUAAUAGGGGAGGUAAGUCAAGUGAUAUCUUCAAAAUUUUAAGUGUGCUAAGUGAUAUUAGAAGAAACCUUAAGGGAGGUUUCUGAUAUUAUCCAUAAAUAAAUUGUGGGGGGCUGGAAUAGGUUCAUUACUUAAAAGUUGGCUAUAGAUGCACUUUCGCAUGAACCACUCUGAAAAAGUACCUAAAAAGAAGAUGGAUCCAAUCCAUACAAAGAUACACCAAAUCUCACUAUUACUUCUACUAAUACUACUAUUAGGGUCUAAAUGAGCAAAAGAAUAAUUCAAUUCGGCGAUAGACAUCAUCGAGGUUUGCUGAUCAAGAAUCAACUAACUUUUUUAGUCGAGCUAGAACAUAAUAAUGUCUCAAUAUCUCUUGUUCAAAGAUCUUCUUUAUCUACUUUUGGGGCGAAAAGAAAUCCUAAACCAAAUAUUAUAUUGAAGUUGCAGUUCUAGAUCAAUAUGGAUAUUGCUGUUGCUUAAGGGUUGAGAAAGCAAGACAUGCAACCGGGGAACCAAUCAAUCUUGUAUUGGUGCAGCUUUGUAGAAGUAAGGUAACUAUCUGCUGGCUGCUCCUUUUAUUAUUAUUUUUUUGAGUCACAUCUGCAUGCCACUUAACUUUAAUUAUAGUUCCACAUCAUUAGAAAAGCGAAAAAAUUAUUUAACAGAAUAAAAAAGAGCAAGAAAAACAUGUCUAGGGAGUAGUUCCUAUGUACAAGCUUCAUGUAUGUUAACCCCAAGAUUGCCCUGAUCGAGUUAUGACAUAGCAUUGGCUAAGGUGGAUAAUUUUAGGUUCAAAUAUUUGGGUGUUUGAGCUAUCGAAUUGUGCUUUUGUUCAAAUUCUGCCAUCAUUUUCCAUUCGGGGGUUUUUUUUUUUUUUUCCCCUAAAGGUAGAGAAGAAGAAGUGCUUCUUAAUUGCUUUAUUAAACUAAUAUCAAAUUGGACCAUGCACGUGAUUGCAUUAGCCUAAAAACCAGUUUUCAUUAGGAAAAAUUAAACCUUGCUUGGAAUGGUAAUUUUGACCCCCCCCCCCAAAAAAAAAAAAGGAAUUUCUAGACACAUUUUUCAAUUUCUUUCUAUCUCAUAUACAUCACACUACUACAUUAAUAUUUUGAGCAAAUCUUAUAUACACUGACAGUAGUGUAUACGCUAUUACAGUUGAAUGCACAACACAUAUGCAAAUUCUGAGUUUUAAAUUUAAAUUCAAAUUAUAUAUCAUGUAUCUAAUAAUAAAAGUAUAUACAAUGCAAUGUGCGAAAGAUUAAUCAUAAUAUUUUUAUACAAGAAACUCUAAAAACUAGCAUUCCAAAGAUUAAGCUUCAGUUUUCCUUGUUGCGAUAUGGCCCAAGUGAUGUAAUAAAUGGGCUCAUUGCUUUUGGGCCUCAAUUCCAAUGGAUUACACUGGCUUACUUUUAGUCAAUGAAUCGGGCUCGAUACUGAGUCGGCCUCAAGAUACCCGGGAAGUUUUUGAUGAGCGCCUAGUAGCCGAAUAAUAAUAUUAAUUUGUUCAAGUCUUCAAAUGUUCCCCCCACUAUAUUUUUUUUUUUUAACUUGUAAUAAGACUUGGAGACUUUUUUAAACUAAUAUAUAUAACAAGGUUUGGUCCAAAACUGAUCAACAUGGAUCUGGCAAGAUUUAAAGAGGCCCUCCAUUUUUUUGUUAAAAAGAAAAAGAGGCCCUCCAUUCUAAGUCGAUUAGUAGUGAUAUAUUACUUUUAUAUCUUUUUAGUACAAUGUGUCACUUUAAUUCGUAAUAUUAAUAUUUUACAAUAUAUAUAUAUAUAUAUAUAUAUAUAUAUAUAUAAUUUUCAAAAAAAAAAAGAAGAAUAUACGCGCUUCCAAAGAUGUUUUGCUGUAUAUCAGUGCAUUCAUAUCCUGCCGAGGACAGAAGCCAAUGUGCAGGAAGAUGGGGUAACUAUUAUACCGGGGCCCUGCACAUCAGAAAUUGAAUGCAUUAGUUAUUCUUAUUUUUAUUUUUUUUGCCAACAUUUUCUUACGAAAGUAAGAAUGGCAGUUUUUUGGUUGGUUGUCUCCUGAGUCAUUGUCUCAAAUUUACUGUGUGUUUUUGUUUUUCAACCUUUUUCUUUUUUCUCAAAAUUUCACCUACCCCUUUGCGGAAGGGCGUGUAGGAGGAAGUGGGGCUAUCGACCAACCACCUUUUUAUUUCAUAUACAUUACAUCAUAAAAAGUGCUAUAGUAAUUAUUUCAAAUAAAUAUUUCAAAUAAUACCCUAUCCAAACAAUCCGAUCGGAUUUGGAUCCAGUGAUCUGAUUUGGAUCCUAUGCAAAAUAACGAAUAUUCAAUCCCUCAGAUCAUAUGUGGAUCGAAUCACAUCUGGAUCAAGAAGUUAUGCGAGUCGAGUUCGGAUAUCAUUUUUUGUGACCCAUGAAUAUUUGAUCCCAUCCGUAUAGUAUUUUUUUUUAUUUUAAGAAUUGUUGAUACAUUAAAUCCACUAAUUUAUAAUUAUUUUAUCUCUUGUUUCUUAUUUUCACAUCUAUAUCAUCUUUCAAAAUAAACUUUCUUUGCAUAUGAUGUUAAGUUUUCAAACAUAUUGUUGUGUAAUCUGUGGAUAAAGAAAUUGUAGACGAAAUAUUUAAUAUUAUUUGUUUGAAUCAAAAUAAGAAAAAAAGAUAUAAAAGUUACUUUAUAUUGCAACAAAACAAAAUUAAAAAGUUCAGCAAAUUAGGCACAUGAUAUUUUUGAAACUCUAAUGCAUCUAAAUUUCAUUUUACUUUUUGGAUUUAUACUUUUUUUUAAAAAAAUUAAAAAUGGAUACGAGUCGAAUAUCUAAUUGACCCGACUGCAUAUUGCAGCCAGAUAUGUGUGGAUAUUCGCAUUAGCGGAGGAUCCGAAUAUGGUUCACAAAAUGACUGAUCCGCUUUUGCGAAUCGAGUCAACAUUCCAAUGCGUGCGUGAAGGUCCGCUAACCAGGGUAAUCAAGGUAUUGGGAAUAGGGGACCAAAAUUCGGGCAAAAGAGAAUUUAUUGAGAAUCUGCAAAGUCCAAACUGGCUACUGCAACGAGACAUUGGGAAGAAGCAUUGAAAUCUACCAAUCCUGAACGCAUUUUACACUACAGACCUUUUGUCGGAGACAAAUGAGUUUACGGGGAAAAAGGGUUUCUGAUUUGAUGCAUCACGAAGGAGAUUCCUCGCCGAUUAUUUCACGUGAUUAUUUCAUCAUGAAUUUUGAGCCAUAUUUCUUCACAAUGGACUUGAGCAAGAAUGAUCCCUCGAGUCAACUACUCAGUCGACCUCAAGAAAUUGCUACCGGUAAAGUCUUUGACGACGAAAAGUUAUUAUUAUUUUCAAAGCGAAAGACAAAAAAAAUCUAUUUAUUAAAAUAUGAGCAAUAUUUUAAACGAUUUUUUUAAUAUUUGAAUUAUAUAUAUAUAUCUAUAAUUUUCAACAAUAAUGUAUGACUACAUUACAUCAAUAUAUGUGCUUCCUGUAUACCAGUGCAUUUAUAUCCUGCCAAUGUGUAGGACAGAAGCCAAUGUGGAGGAAGAUGAGGAAAAUGCAUCAUACCAGGGGGGCCCGGGGCAUCAGAAAUUGAAUUCAUAGUCAUUCAAUUCAAUCUUCCUCAGUCCCGGGGCUUUUAUGGUUUUUUGUUUUACUACUUUUUGUUUAUUACAAAUUUUCACCUUCACUUUUGCAGAUGGGGAUGUAGGAGGGAGUGGGACUAACCACUAUUAAUAGGGGGUGUGCAGAUGAUCCGAACAAACCUGAAACAGCGGAUAUCCGAUCCGCCAAAUCACAUCCGUAUCAAGAAGUCAUGCAGAUCAAAUUUGGAUCACGAAGGAGAUUCCUCGCCGAUUGUUUCACAUGACAUGAUACUCUGCUCGAGGCCGUAAAUAGGAAUUUAGAGCUAUCUUUCUUCACAUGAAUUUUGGCUGGUUGUAUUUGAUUUGAUUAGUAGUACUUUGCACUCCACUUUACGUGCGUGAUAAUUAUUUACCAAAACAGCCAAGCUCUUGGCUUAGUAAGUAAUCUGGUUUUCAUGGGGUAGGAGUGAAACUUACUUACUUGAGGAACUAUCUAUCUUUUUUUUGUUUUUCUUUUUCAAUAGGGUAGGAGUGAAAGUUAAGAAGCAGCGAAGGGAGAAUAAAGAUUUGAAGUUUGAGCCUCUAAUUUUUAGGAUCUCAAUCUUAACCGCUAGAUCAGAACCUUCUCAGUACUUGAUAAACUAUUUAAUUAUGUGCGAAGAUUAUUUUAUUGUUUAAGAAGCAUAAAUUUUGCGUUAUAGUGUACACAUUCACAAUUUAUAAUUAAUGUAGUUUUCAUUAAGUUAACAUGCACAGAAAUUAGUUGAGAAACUAUUUAAAGAUUAAUUGAAUGUUUAAAAAGCAUAAUUUUUUUGUUGUAGUGUACAUGUUCACAAUUUAAGGCAGAGGAAUUAUAAGCAGAAGGUUCUAUGUUCAAGACCUCCCACUUUUCUCAAAAAAAAAAAAAAAAGUACACAAUAGACGAUUUAUAUUUUGCUCCACUUGCAUUUACACAUACUUACUCUUAAAUACUAGUUAAGUUGACCAUUUAAAAACCCAAAAUUUGGUGGGACACAAAAUUAUACCAAAUUCUUAGACGCACAAGUGUUUUAUUUUAUUUUAUUUUAUCGUUUUGUUAGGAAACAUCCAAACAAGAGGCAAGGAAAUGCUCGGUAGAACCUAACAUUUAUAUAUCCUACCAUGUAUAUAUAUAUACUAACAGUUAUUAACAUUCUUUGUAUAUUUUUUCUAUUUAAUCUUACCUACCAUUAUAUUUAUUUACUUUUCUUAAUUAAUUUUACAUUUUAAAAAAUAUGACACCUAAAAAUAUAUCUUAACGGACACCCUCAUACUUCAAAUUCAGGUGGCACUAAAUAAUACGCCUUUAUACAAGGAUUUAUUGCCCAGUAUUGCAUCUCUAGAGGAAUGAAUACAAAGCCAACAAAUCUGCUGGUGCUUAAUCACAGAUCAUGGAAUGGGUGAGUCCUUUGUAUUAUCAAAAGGUGAUUAGUAAAAUUUAGCCACAUUGCCUCAACUAAUUCUAACUAAAAAUUUGCACAAACAAAAUCUUUGAAAACUUCAAAACCUUUGUCAAAAGUUAACUACUCCUUUCUAUCCGAAAUAUCAGCUGCCCUGAUCGCCCAAGUGAUUUUAGCUUCCACAAAAUGUUGCACCCAUGUAACUGGAAGUAGUAUCCAAUACUGUGACCUACAUGCUACUAGUAUAUGCUACUAGUAAUAGAAACGAGGGUUUGAUUAUUAACUGCCGAGGAAUUCAGCUGAGGACUGUUUUUUUUAACAACAGCUAGGAUUGUGAUGCUUCAGGCCUUCAAGGACAGGGCUCUCUUCCCAUAGCAAACUGUCUCUGUCUCUCUCUGGAUCAUGGAAUUUGAGUCUCCCGAUGCAAGAAAAAACAGUGCUACUGUGGUCUGUGGGGAAGCCUGCAAUUGGUAGGGCGCAGUUUCCUUUAAAUGCCAACACAACUACACACCGGCAUUUGCAUUUUAUUUUGUCUUUCCUUCUGGUCUCAUCAACUAAAAACUUGGAAGCUUUUCCCUUAGUAUUCUCUUUGAGUACUUCUACGUAAAUGUAGAAAGGGUCUCUCCCACGUAACAUCGCAAGUCAUUUUUGGGUACUAUCUUCCGAGCUUUGUUGGAACUAUCUUUCUUUUUCCCCUCCAGGAAGAACUUCAAGAACCACAUCAAACAAAAAAAAAAAAAAAAAUCCAGCAGAGCAUUUGCCUACCAUUUCACAUCAUCCCAAAUGUUUGUCCUUUAUUCUUGACCAUGACGUGCUUCUAAUUGCAGAUAAAGAUAGAUUUCAAGCGCCUUCUCUGCUGUGAAAGCUGCACUAUCGAAAUUCGAAAGAGGUUACUUUGGCAUGGUUUUGGCUCAGAAACUAGGGUUUGGCUCUUCUUCGUUUUGAGAUACUGAGAAAAGCAAGAUAUACGGUGUACAUUUAGCAUGAUGGCAUUGGGAGGAAGUCUCUCACGGGUGAACAGUUACAGCAAGAAGCAGUGCAGAAGCCUUUUCUGCAGAGUAAGGGCAGCAGCGAAGAAGGCCAUCAGGAGCGCUGGUGGUGGUGGAAAAGGUAAACAUCAAUUCAAAUUCCACUAUGAUCCUUCGAGCUAUGCCCUCAACUUUGAUGACGGCUCUCAUGAAUCGGGAGAGAAAACAACAACGGUGUUUUACCAGCAGCCAUCCAACUCCAAACUGCAGAGCUCUUGCAAGACCAAUAAUACUACCUGGAUUUAUAUCAUCUGGGUGGAGUCUUAACUCUUACGCAGUUCUGUGUUUCCACAUUUUCUACUACCAUAUAUGAGUCAAAUUCAUGUUUAUUUCCAAGUUUUUGUUUACCUUUUACAGUACUUUCCUUGUGAUUCUCUUCUGCUACCUGCUGCAAGAGUACGAAAAUAGUGUCCUUUUGGCUAUACUCUUGAUUAAGUUACGAACAUUUCCAAACUUCGAUUCUUUAAUACAUAUGGUCUAUCCAGUGGCCUUUUAGCAAAUAAUCACCCCUGGCCUACUCUCAAAAACAGCCUAAUACAUUAGUAUUGGCAACAAUAAACAUGAGACAGAGAGACCCAGAAAUUUAUUAAUUUUCCGUGCGGUAUAGACAGCAGAUACGCUUUUCGUUGUGAAUAAUAAGUGACUUUACGCGUUUAUUUAAUAUCCACACUGACAAAAAGCGGACAUAUACAGAGAGAGAGAGAGAGCCAUCACUGUUCCCAUCUGUUGUACUACUAGAUAACAAACUAAAUUCAUCAUUAAUGAUACUGUAAAGGAAAGCGGACACAAGGAGUAUCAUUUAUUAUACAUGAGAUUGGCAAAGAAUCCACAUUCGGAACAAAACGGUGCAAUACGUGACUGUUUCCAUUGGCUGUACACCAAGUUUGCUUUCUGUGGAGAGACCUAUUGCCCUAGUAAAGUAGUAUAAAUUAAUGAAAAUGACAUCCAUGAAUGACUGACCAACUACUUUCUUCCAAGAUACACCGUAUUGCAGCUCUUUGCUGUCGUACCCGUUGAAUGAGCAGUGCCUCCAGAUGGGCAUAACUUCAAUCAACAAUCAAGGAGUUUUCAUGUCCUUCAAACACCGGGAUCUUCAAGGGUGGCAGUAGAUAUAUCAUUUAUGCGAGGAUAAGCAGCCUUCUCAUCAAGUUGGUUUUGUGCCCAGAUCAGCAUCUUUAACAAACUUGGGAGCUUGGGAUCUGUUUUCCAGUCAUCAUGAGAGAACAUUCAAGGAUAUGUUGAACUUCUAAAGCAUAACGACAAACAAUAAUAUAGUACGUAUCCACGAGCAUUAGCAAUAAAAUUUCUGCAAUGUUUUAAUAAUUUGAUAUUUAAUUAAUCACACUCCUUGACAUCACAAGAGAAAUAUGUCAGCGUAUAACUGUCACACCCGUAAACAAUAGAAUUCACAUUGAACACUGACUCCACUUGCCACUAAGCCUUGGAAAUCAAAGUUGGAGCCAUAAUAUGUAUGAAUGUUUGAUUAAGUUGUUUUGCAGAGAAUAUGGAUUCUCAUUUCUAUUCUCAUUUCUAAUGAUGUACAUAUUUUUUUCUCCUUUUCAUGUUUGGGCAGUCUCAUAUCUUCUGAUGCUGCUACCCUUGAACUCAAAAUGUUCAAAUUUUUGCCAGAUUAGCAAGAGAUAAAAAAAAAAAAAACAUAAUCUGAUUUAACUAUAUGAGCCGAAUGAGCUUAGAAAGAGCUUGCUUAUGAUUUCUGACGGGUUGACUUUGGACAAAGUUUUGACUUGAUAGUUUCUGAGUUACUCAACUUUUGACUAAUUGCCGACCGAGCAUAAUUUUUACCCAUAUAAUACUUGGCUUAACUUUAUUCGUUCACAGCUCUAAUUACUGUUCAAAAUUGUACCUUAUAAACCUCAAUAGCCAAUAAAUGCACAUCGGUGAGCAUGAUAAUGACUUUAACACUGACAUUAGGACAGAUAAGUAAACCUUUACCAUGUCUGUAAGAACUGAAACUCUGUUAUAACUUCAGAGGAGGCAAUAAUCAAAGACAUUUGUAAAAGACUGAUAAGCAUUCUUUCUAUGUUUACCACAAAUCAUAUCAAGUUUUACAGAAGCACUUUUGGAGAAUAAAGAGUAACCUUUUUCAUGGCUUUGGCUGGUAAGGAUUGCUGCAUUCACUUCACUUGCGGUCUUAAGGCGCUGGGAUAUAUCCAGAAGCUCAGCAACAGGGCAGUUAUUCACAUCUUCAAAAGCUAAUAGGGAAACAGUCCUCUCCAACUCUUCCAAAAAGCUUUGCUGCAAAAUGUCCUGCUCUAGUAAGAAUCAAGUAUUGAGACAAAUAAUGCAAGAAUAUUAAGCUUGAUACUUAAAAAAAUCAAGCUAACCAAAAAUGUAACCAAAAUAAAGACUAAUGAAAUUGAGUCAAUUAAGAUGUAGAAAAGCAGUCAUGACUUGACUAACAAGCAUUUGGUAGAAUUAGUAAAUGGAGGAGAAUAUAAACAAGUGCGUUACAUAACAAGCUAAGAAUUACAUUUUCCUCUCCUCUUGGAGCAAGUUCCUCCUGAGCAAAUUCUAAAGCUUCAGCGACUUUUCCAUUUCUGAUCAAUUCUAUCAACCUUUGUUGUUGAAGAUGAAAAAAGAGCUGGGGAUUUGUAUCCAAUAUCUGCAUGAAAAUUUUCGAUUAUAUCUUGAUCAAAAGUAAUGAACAUCAUAAACAUCACAGCUUCAAAAUUGUUGAACUCAAGAGAUAGAUUCAUAGGAGAUACUGGAAUAACUCUCAUCUCAAACUAAAGUAUAAAUCACUGUUCCAUGAAACGAAGGACAUGGUUGAUAUUUUACAUGACAAAAUCCCAUUAAGCUUCAGCCUAGUGUUAUGUAAUGUCAAAAGGUGCAACAUCUCCAUAGUCAAAUCUGUUCUGUCAACAAAAUUCUUGAUUUCUUACUAUGUGAUAUGAGUUCAAUUGAGCCAAGAACCAGAAUGCCACUUGCCUUCAAGCAUGCAAACACAUAUGUUCCCCUUUUUUUAUUUCAACACAUAUUUUACCAUUUUCCUCCACAAAUGAAUAGUUUUUUAAGCAAUAAAAGGGCAAACUUUACAUGUUUCUUGCUUGUGCUUAGACAGCACCAUGUGGCAAAAGCAACAAACAAGACAUUUCCAAAGGAAGGUCUCCCUCCUUUACAGAUAUACUCAAAUAAUAAAUGGAGUAAUGCACUAUGAAACUGAAUAUAGAAAUGAAAGGGCAAAACCAUAGUUAACAUUAAAGAUACAAUGUAGCAUUGAGUAAAAAAAAAAUUCUUCUUCACAUACCGGAAUCUUCAGUCAAAUGAAUAUUGCACAAGGAAAAUUGUUCCAGUAUCAUGCCUAGUACAUAAAUCAUAUUUUAUGCCAUACUGAACUGCAAUGGCUCCAUAAUAAUAAAAAAAUCCGGCUAGCACCUAUCAUGAGCAACAAAUACUUUUCAAUAGGCCUUUUUGUUUAGUUUCUAAUAAGUUAUUCAACUUAAAUAAUCAGCACUUCUCGUCUAUUAAAUGUUAGUCAAUCUAUGUUUGAUUCCAGAAUAGAUAAUACAGAUCAUGAAACCGAAUACUCAAACCAAAAUCAACCCCAAUACUUAGUCAUCAAACCAAAUACAUUAAUCCAUCAAAGAUACAGCUUAGGUACUUAUAAUCAAGGAAAUGCAAGAUGCCAAGUUCAUUCUGUCAGUAUUACACACAAAGAAAUGGCAACAUUCUCCUACUAUAUCCCAUCUAGUAAAUAGCAAUUGCAGAGGAUGCUGACAGGACUUCCUUGUGAAUGUGAAGAACCUCAUUACUAUUGCCAGAAGUUUCACAUGUUGAGGCUAAUAUUAUCCUCCAAAUUUAAAAAAAAAAAAAACACAGGCAAGAUCUAUUCAAUCUAAUGACAGUAUUUUACAAUGCCUUCAUAUACAUCACCAUUAACUUAAACAUGAUUCAGCUAAAUUUUCAUAAAGCAAUCUUAUCAAAAACAGUACACAGCAUGGUUUGAAAGUAGAUUAAAGCAAUUCAAACAUAAAAUUUAAGCUGAAACAUGUGCAGGGAUUUAUCACCAAGGGUCUAGUCUUUCCUUUAAAAUUCCCUUCCUCUUUCUCUUCUAUUAUUCCUUUUUUCCCUUAAUUUCUUUCUUGAAGAAGGAUGGGGAAGAAAUAGCAUCAUGCACCAAUCAAUUGCAUCUACAUGUAUCAAUUUCAUGCUUGUAAUCACCAAAAAUCUCAAUGUCUUGACUCGGCAGUGAACGUAGAGAAUUCGCACAAUUGUAUAUAAUGCGCCUCACAAACACAUCAAUAUACAGUUCGACUCAUGCUUUAUGAGUUUACGCAUAAAUAUAGAACUUAUUGAUGUAAAGUUGGUAAGACUCUAAAGAUGGCUUUUUUUACUUUAUCCCUUUUUUUUUAAAAAAAAACGUGAUAGGUGAGAGACAAGCACAAUUAAGAAGAUGAAAUAGCAUACCUCAGGGUUCAAAUCAUUAACCUUUUCAAUUGCAUCCUCCACAUUACCACACUGCACUGCCUUCUUAACUGCCAUCCGAUCAGUUAUAGUUGCCAAAUCAAUGUCAGCUAUAAAGUCAUAAGGAAAAGCAAAUCAUGCCAACUGAAAUCCUGAUAACAAAUGCAAUAUCAUGUAAAAUCAGUUAUCCUGAAGAAAUGAUAAGGAUACGUUCUGUCCCAGAUUCCUUUCGGAAUUUCUCAGCUGCAUCAACAUAACCCUCAGUCACCAGGAAGUUCAUUACCAAUUUAUUCAUGUCUUCUUUCCUAAUCUUUACAUCAUUGAGCUUUUUCUCCCACUCUUCUUUUGUUAUAAUUUUCUUCGAACUACCCUGUGAAAAGAAAAGUUUUAGAAAUAAAUUAGCUCCACGCUACCAAAAGAAAUAAGUAUUCCUGUUUGUGACACUGCACACUUCAAAAUUAUUCUAAAAAAGGCUAUCAGCACAAAAUAAAUAUAACUCUUUUAACCGAUUUCGCAGCUGCAAUGCCACUAGAAUCCUAAUCACGUAAAUUGUGAAACAAUACCACUGAAGAUGACACAAUUUGCAUAAAGUAACUGACAAGUUUGAUCUUCAGCUCCUAAUUUUGCACUGCUGAUGAAAGACAAAUGUAUCCAUUUUUUGACAAGUCUUUUUUUAACAGCUUUCUCAGAAUGGCAAGAACUAAAACAGGAACUGAUUUUGGCUGUUGAGAAAUCAAAACCUCAUUCUAGGAUGAGGAACAAAGGCUCUUAGUUUCUGGCACUUUAUCCAAUUCUAAGACAUCCAUUUCACCUAGAAACACAACACUGGUGGCAGAAAAUCAUAACCUUCAGCCCUUCAUCAUUAUUAACUAAUAUCUUAUCUCUCAACAGUACAUCUCGCUCUGCUGAGAAACCUGAUCGCCUUAAUAUAAUCCUAUUUAACAUUGUCGGGGCAGUCUAUUCAGGUCUUAUGUUUAUCAAAUCAAUCAUAGUUACUAUAUUGCAAAAAAAAAUUCAUGAACAAAUAGAUGUUCUUUAAACCAUUCUAUCUCACGCUUUUCAAAAUCUAGCAAAAACCUUCUGUCGCUUAACUCGUGUUUUCAUAGGGGAAAAAAAGGCGACUUUUUAAGAUUCUAGUAACUAUUCCUAGCAAAAUCCAAUCAUCUCAAGAAAGGAAUGAGAAACCCUAAUGUUGAUAAAUAUUAGCUACUAUGUCAUGCCGAUGUCCUUAAUCAAGACCUUAAUCAGACAUUCCAGCAACAAUUGAACAGCAAAAAGAUCAAGAAAACAACAACUCAUAUAUAAUAUAGAUAUAAAGGGUCAGCAAAAAAUGGAAUAACUUCUCAUAAUUUUCCGUUCAAGGUGAGUUGGAAGGAGGGAAAUAUGAGAAAUUUACCAUGGAUUCAAUCUCAGCGAGUUGGCCAAGUACAAACCAGAGCAAUGACAUCAAAAUUCGGAGGACGACUCCACCGCUAGCUUAAAAAUAUGGCAGCCGCUGUAAUUUUCUCCUACUUUCCUUUUAAUGUUUUUACAAUUUUUUUAACUGGUUAGAUUGAGUUAAUUUCAGUGACUGUGGCAUUUUGGUCUAUAUGUGUAAUUCGAAGUGUAUUCGGUACCCAACUGGAAGGAGAAAACCAGAAAAGGAAAAUAUAACACAAAAACUAUACAGUCGAUUUUUUACACAAAUUUAUUUGCUUAUAUUUAUAAGCAGAUUUUUAAAUUAUCUUUUUGUCUCAUAUAUAUCAUAUAAAAAAUAUAGAAUUAAUUACAUUUACCUCCCCUGAGAUUUGACCAAAUAACGAAUCGAUCCCUGAGAUUUGACCAAAUAACAAAAAGAUCCCUCAACCGUUAGUCUUUGCCGUUGACUGUUAGUGUUAAUUACAUUUACCCCCCUGAGAUUUGACCAAAUAAUGAAUCGAUCUCUAAAAUUUGACCAAAUAACAGAUUCCUCAUCCACACUAACUUCUGUCACUUAUAUGUAACGGAAAUAGCCAAAAGUUUGAAUAACCCUUCUUGAUUUCCAUCAAAUUUUUUACCUAUCGAUUUUUGUGUUUUCAGAAAAAAAUUUUGGUUAACAGAUAAAAUUUUGAAUCCAACAAAUUAUUAAUUUAUUUAACAGAUAAAAUCAGAGUAAAUUUUGAUAGACCUUGUAAUGCAAAAUUUGCCAUACACGUAUUUUGUAAUUUGGUGAAAUAGUGUGAUAAAUUUUGGAUUACAUGGGGUAAUACCCAUUAUCCCAUAAAAUACCAGUGCUUUACGACUUUUCCCAAUUAUAUGAACAAAGUACCUAUUUUUUCAAAAAAUAAUUUAUUUAAAAGAUAAAGUAAAAUUAAACUUUCUAGCGAAUAAGAAGGUUGAAAAUGUAGUACGCAUUUUUUCUUUCCAUAAUGUACCAGCUCCUUAUACUUUUCCUAUAUUAUAUAAAUGAAGUACCAGCUUUCUAUUGGCAUUUUACUCUAUUUAUUAGUAACCCAUUGUAAAACCAAACUAGCAGAAGGCUUUUCUACACAAAACACUUUGUCAUGGCCGAUUAAGUAGUUAAAGGAUAUUUGAGAAUCUGGUAAUGGUCUCAUUUUGAAAAUCAUGUCCGUCUCAUUUUUGUGGUCGAUUGAGUGAACCUUUACAUUGCUUCUAUAAAUUUUCUUUCAUCGCUCAAUUGUCUGUUUCCUUUUUUCACUCUACUUUUUUUUUCAUUCCUUUCUUUGCUUUUCACAUUUUUAUUUCUUUUUUGUUUUCUAAGCUUUUCUUCUUUCUUCAUUUUCUUUCUUUUGUUCCUUUAUGCGCAUAUUUUAUCAAGUUUGAUUAUUACAUGCUUGGUUUUUUUCUUUUAUACUGGUUAAAAACUGUUUUGUUUAAGUAAUAAACUCUUAGUUUAAUUCGUUAUUAUUGAAACCACCUUCGAUUUUUUAACGGUAAGUUUUCUCUAACUACAAGUUUUACAAAGAGGGUAAAUAUGAUAUUUUACUACUUCUAUUUAAGUGUCUUUGAUGAGAUUAUUUAAAAAGGAGAUACAUGUAAUAUCACCACACUACAGGGAUUUAAAAGUAGUUUGGUCAAACCACAAGGGAGAUAGAUGUAAUUAAUCCUUAAAAAUUUGAUGGAAAUCAAUAAGGGUUAUUUAGAUUUUUGGCUAUUUCCAUUACAUAUAAGUGACAGAAGUUAGUGUGGGGGAGAAAUAUGUUAUUUGGUCAAAUUUUAGGGAUCGAUUCGUUAUUUGGUCAAAUCUCAAGGGGGUAAAUGUAAUUAACCCUUACAGUCAACGGCAAAGACUAACGGUUGAGGGACCUUUUUGUUAUUUGGUCAAAUCUCAGGGAUCGAUUUGUUAUUUGGUCAAAUCUCAGGGGAGGUAAAUGUAAUUAACUCAAAAAUAUAUUAUAAUAUCUUUUUUCAAAAGAUUAUUUCAAAUAAUAAAAAACAUACUAUGUCAAGUGAAAUACUCAGGAAAAAGUCUAUGCUAGGAUAGGACUUCUUUGAUGCUUCCCUUGUAUUUGCAAUUGUUGAGAAUAGUUACUAACCCCAGUUGAUAAUGACUGACUAUUUCUAAUAUUGAAAUCGCGUUGCCUAUAUGGGAAUGAGAAGUGAUUUAUAGUCUCUUGUAGGAUUGCAAACGAAUCGAACCGUUUGCGAGCUGAUCGAAUCCGAGCUUCAACUCGAGUUCAAAGAUCUUUAAUUCGUUAGUUCACGAAUCAGCUCGAUUAUAUAUAUAUAUAUAUAUAUAUAUAAUAGUAAAAUUACAUAUAUAUUCUUAAUAUUUUAUUAUUUAUUAAGAAAAAUAUUUUAUUUUAUUCAUUUUUUAAAAUAAAAUAAAUAAUUUUAUUGUUUUAAAUUCGAGCUCGACUCAAAUUCGAGUCGAACUUUAGAUUUUGAGUUCGUCGAGUUCGAAUUCGAACUUCAUAAAACUAAGUUGAGACUCGAUUUGAUUGGAACAAAAUUCGAUUCGAUUCGACUCGUUUACACCUCUAAUUCUAGAUGUAUACCCUGACCCUCUUUUAAUAGGUCUUUUCGGAAAACUCUAUUUAUUCUGAUAUGGAUGGCAGACAAACCUAAUAUUUCUUGAUUUUGACAGGAAUUCUUACAAGCGUUAUGAAUGUUGUUUUUAUCUACUAUUUUUUAAAAUUAAUCAAGUUGUUAAUGACUAGAUGAAAGAUAACGUGUGAUAUUAUUUGUCAUUUUUUGAACUUUGAUUUUUAUCAUUGUCGGAGCUAUUUUCAUUUUGACUACCCAAAGACAUGUUUAUGGUUAGUUAUCUUCGAAACUUGUUUUACUUUAACUAUGUACUUUUCAACAUGACUAACCCUAAACAUUAUAAUUACCAAUAUAACAAUUAUUGUGUGGAAGAAACUUAAGAGAUUAAAGUUUACUUUAGUAAUGAAAAAUUCAUAUAAAAUUUAUUUAUUAUCAAUAUUAUGCUUUUUGUUAUUGUACACACAUUGAGUGUGCAAAAAACACUAGUGUCUAUGCAAUAUAUAAAAUCUAGAAGUUAGUGUAAAUAGUUGUUGUCAUCGUUUGAACUUCUAAUUAUACCAUUAUAAAAAAAAUUACCCUACUCACUUAAUCACAUAUUGUCAACAUCAAUACAUAUAGCUACCUAAGUAUUUUGCAUUAACUAUUCAUGAGUACUCCCAAAUAUUGUAACUUUGCAAUCCAAACUUCUUUACAAAAACUAAUAUAAAUAUUAUUUACGUUAAAAAAUAAAAUUAUGCAAAAUUUAUUCAUUUUAACGAUUUUUAAAUGUGUUGAUCUUAUAAAUACUGUCAGUGCAUGCACUAUUACGAUUCGAUGUAUUUCAUGUAUGCAAAAUUUAUAUUUAAAAUAUAAUUAAUGUUAAUUAUCAUACAUUCAAAGGUGAUAAUGUGUUUGGAUAGGAGAUUAUUUGAAAUAAUUAUUAUAGCACUUUUUGUGAUAUAAUGUAUGUGAGAUAAAAAAAUGAUUGGAAAGAUAAAAUAUGUGUUAAAAAUUGUGUUUGUGGUGCAAACAAAUAAUUUAGAGCCAAAUAAUGACUAUCCAAACAUACUUAUUUAACACUAGUACAAGUUGGAAGAAGAUACAUAGGAUGCAGUCAUGCAACUAUGAGACAAUUUCAUAAAGUGAAAAAUUUUCAAGCCUGUCCCUUCGGGGCCAUCCGAUAAAAUUUUGCAAGCCUAGUUUGUAAUUUUUGGGCAAUUGUUGUUUUGAUCAUGGUGACAGCCCCAAAAUAUGGUAGUCUAAUCCCACGUUAACUUCUCUCAAGAGUACUACUACCUAUCAUUAAGUAUUGUCUAUUACUCCAAAAAUAACUAUCUUAGAGACAUGAAAUCGCAACCAUGACGUAAAACACAUACUACUAAUUAGAAUCUAACACCUAUAAUCCAUCAAGUCACCCAUAAUUGGUGCUCAAACAUUUAUUUACCAGUAAUAAACGGCGCACACAUAUACGCUCAUUGUUUCAAUCCCCGGGUUGACUCGACUGGUGCUGGGGGUGCCUCCUUAGGUUCUGGUACCGUGUGAUCGCGGUUCGAUCCCUGUUAUCUUCUUGUGUCUUCUGGGGGGUGGGGGCACAAGCGGAGUGGGAAUAGUCGGGUCCGGAAAUAUAAUCCGUCGAAUCCUGGAUACCCACUAUGUCAGAAAAAAAAAAUAUAUAUAUAUAGGCUCAUUGUUUCAACUCAUGAACGACCUAAGUCCUUUUUAACGUGAUUUGAAUAUUUUGUCCUAAUUGUACUGUUACUAAAAACAAAUAGUACAAUGAUUCUCAUCAAUCGUGAUUGAAGAAAUUUAAUAGUCUGUACGCAUUUGGUGCACUUAUUCCCUUUCUUGUUUCCAUAUCUUAUUAUAUUUGAUCAUUUAUUCAAGUUUGUAAACUAAUGGAAUUCAAUUAAGCUACUUGUUAAGUUUGCUUGAUUGAAGUUCGAAUUCGAGUUUGUAUUAACCAAGUCUAAAUUGAGCUCAACUAGUUUGAAUAAUUCUUUGAGUUGGAGUGGAGUGUGAAUAUCUGGUGUGAGAAAUUUCAUUAUAUAUACAUACAGGUCAAAUGGUCAUCAAAAUAACUGCUUUGGACAGGUUUUGUUCAAUUCAAUCUCUACACAUGAUAUUAAAAUCGACAUAUAAAAAGUGACAUGAGCCUUAUAUUGUUUUGCUCAAAUCAUGACCGUGAACCUUUCUGGACUGCAAUCAUCCUUGCCCAUCUACAUGCAUACAGAUACUUGCACAGUGUUUAUGUAAACUUUUGAAGUUUUUAAUUUCUUUAUUAUACACAUACAUCCUUUCUGGCUUGGCCUUGUUUGGAUUGUGAUUUUUCGGAGAGAAAUUUUUACAUUUUUCAUGAAUAAAAUUUUCAAUCACAUUUUUUAAACUCAUAUAAAUCAUAUUUUUCUAUAAAAACUCGUAAAAAUAGCAAUCCAAAUGGCAAGUUUUAAUGAGAAAAAUGCAGUUUUGGUAUCUCGACUUUAACAGAUGAGCAGUUUUAGUUAUCAAACUUUGAACGAAAACAAAUCUGGUACCUUAACUUUCAACUUUUGAGCACAGUUAAUACUCUUGACGGUUUUUUUUUUCCCCAAAUUACUACUUGAAAGAGUCGCGUGAUAGUUAUAUGUCUAGCAAUUAUUAAUAAAAAUUACCAAAAAAUGUAAAAUAUCCUUUUGAUAAAAUUAUUUGUUUUUAAACUUAGUAUUUAGUGUUAGAAGAAUAUUUUAUUUGAUAAAAUUAUUAGUUCUAGGAUAUUUUAUGCGACACAUAGUGUCAGAAGAAAAUUUUACAUUUUUUUGAUAUUUUUUAUACAAUAGUUGCCGGACAUAUGGUUAUCAAAUAACUUUUUUUGACAGUAAUUUGGAAAAAAUCUGUCAAGGGUACUAAGGGCCUAUUUGUAAGGCCUGUUUUUUAUUAAGUUUUUAUUAUACUAGUUUUUUAACAACUUGUGCUACAGGAACCUUAAAAACUUAUCAAAGUUUUUAACAUACACACUUAAAAUAUCCAAAACACAAAAAAAAAAAAAAAUCCCUUCCCCUUUUCUUUUUCAUCCUCUCCCACCACCACCUCCGUCGCCAACUCCGGCGCUAAUUUCCGGUGCCGGUGCCGGUCUUCUUUUUUUUCCCAUUUUUUCCCUCUCUCCCUCUUCCUCCCCUCUUGUCUUUUUUUCUCUCUGCGUCUCCCCCAUUUCCUCUCCCACUUCUCUGUGAAAAAAAAAAGAAAGAAGAGAAAGAUAGUGAGAAGCGAAAAGAGGAACAGGGGAGGUGGGGGGUGGCGGGGGGGGGGGGGAAGGCGGCCACUUUUUUCUCUCUGCGUCUCCCCCAUUUCCUCCCCCACUUCUCUGUGAAAAAAAAAAGAAAGAAAAGAAAGAUAGUGAGAAGCGGAAAGGGGAACAGGGGAGGCGGGGGAUGGCGGGGCAAAGGUGGUGGCGGGGGGAGGGGGAAGGCGGGAAGGGGUGGUGGGGGAGGGGAGGAGAAGGGGAAAGGGAGGAGAGGGGUGGCGGGAGGUGGCAUUGGUGGAGUUGCUGCUGGGGGUGGCGGAGGUAACGGGGAAGGGGAGGGGAAAGAAGAAGAAAAGAAAAAGGAAAGAAAGAAAAAGAAAAAGAAAAAGAAAGGGAAAGAGAAAAAGAAAGAAAAAAAGGAAAGGAAAAAAAAAGUUUUUCGCUUUACAAAAACUUCUACAGUAUACUACAGUAAAGUUUUAGACAAACUCCCAAAAAACUCAGGUUCCAAAUAGGUCCUAAAUGUGCUAAAUGGUUGAAAAAUUAGAUACUAGAUUUGUUUUAUCCAAAAUUUGGAGAUUAAAAUUGUUCAUGUGCUAAAUUUUGAAUACCAAAAGUGCAUUUUCUCGGUUUUAAUCUACAUGGCUGCCCUGUCUGUGUCCUAGUCCUCCUAAUACUUCACUUCUCGUGUUGGUUUACGAGUAUAAUCCAUCCAUAUCCGUAUGCUUCACUCACAAGGAUCCACCUCCUUUUUUUCACACACUUACACAAACUGCACCAAAUCUGUUUCCCAAAUCCUUAUAGGCCAAAAGCUUCGACCCGGGCAACACGCGCACACAAUAACCCCUAAAGUCUCCGAUUCCAACUCCAAUUUUCCCACGCUUUUCACUUAAAUCGCUUCGACGGACGGAUUGAUUCGAAAGACUUUUACGAGUUCAUCCUACGCCCCCCACAAACUUUCUCCGCCUCCUGACCCACGCCCCCACAGGAAAAAGAGAGAGAGAGAGAAAUUUAAACGAAAAGGAAAAAAAAAACACGCAGUCCACACACACAAAAAAACGCACAACAUACAAGCAAAAGCUAAAGACCGGUGGUGGCUUCACUGAAACCCCAGCGAAAGUUCUGGCAAGCAACUUUCCACCUGACUCUAUUAGUAUGUUUUUCACAUGCGAAGAAUUUUUUGGGUUCAAAUUAUAGGAGGAGGAAAGUUGACCGUGGAAUGGAAACACGUCGUCGUUUUCGAGGAGGGGAAGACUAGGGUUUCUUUUCCAUUAGGAUCUUUAAUUUUGAAUGAGUGUAGUAAUUGAAUUGAGAUAUGUUGAUGGCAGACGACAGAUCGAACCUUUGGUCCUCAGAGGAUUAUUCGCUGGAAGCUGAUGAUCUUCGAGACGAUCUUACAAUUGAUAUUGGGACGAUCUUGGAUAUAUUGAAUGAGAAUCCCGAUUCUUCUGAGGUGAAUUUUGAUCAACUCUAUUGCUUCUUGUUUAUUCAGUUGUAUAAACACGUCAAGUUUAUGUUGGAGCGGAGUUUUUCUGUGCCGAAUUUGUACAUUGUGGUAAAGUUUUAGAAUCAGGAGAUGGUUUCACCAUUUUUUUGAUGUGGAGUUAGUUUAAAUUUUGCUAGAACGGUGCUAGCUACUAGUAGAUUUUUAGGAACUUACUGGCCCGUAGAAGUUGAAAAUCUUUUUGGGCCUUUAUUUUGGGGAAGUUUUUGUUUUGAUUAUGUUUACUUCAAUCUGAACGAGCUUAGUUUGGCGAAUCCACUGUAAAGGGUUUUUAUAAUUUAGUGAAUUGUUGUAAAUGGUGGUAUAAUGUGCAUUAUGUGCUUCAAUGAGUAUUUUCUUUGGUAAAGCAUGCAUGUACAUUGUGAUCUGUGAACAGACUUGUCUGAUAUUUUUUAUGGAAAAUUAAUAACAGCUAUUGUUCUUUAUGAGUCUGAUGGUUGCACUCGUCAUUAUACCGAUAUGGGUCGUGGCUUUUAUUGGAUUGUGGCACCAUGUCUAGUGAAAGGAGAUUGAUUGGGCAGGAAGUAUAGGAAGAUUUACCUGGAAAGGUGGGCAAUAGCUGGCCAAUUCUUUUUCUUUUUGAAUACUUCCUUCAUCAGUAGUACCCCACUUUUUUCUUUGGAAGGAGUGGAGGGAGGAUUAGAGUGGAGAGAUGGUAGCUUAUAUUUGGGUUGUGGAGGAAGUCACAAUAGUGGGAGGAAGUGGCAACUAUGGAAACUAAUAACAAUCAGGGGAAAAAGACCAUCUUAGAAAGGGAAUAGAUGCUGCGGACAUGAUGAGUGUUCUGGACCAACAAUGUUAUAUCUUGCUCCCUGACCUGUUGCUUUCUCUCUCUCUUGCAAUUUAAAAUUUGAAAGGCAGGCUAUAUUCAUUAGUUAUCUGCUUUUGAUUCAUCACAGGCAUAUUUGGUUUUAAAACAUCUACUGUAAUUUUCAGGGAAAGAUAGAAGACUUGUCAUUCAAUGAUGCGUCAGAAGGUUAGUCACCUUGAUUUCGAAUUGGGAACGUCGAUUAUGGUGGCAGUUCUGCUUCUUCAUUUUUUCAAUUUUCUAGUUAUCAAUUCUGCUCUCAGGAUUCAAUUGCUGCAUGUGAUAGCCCACUUAUUAUAAUAUUUGAUGCGCCUAGUUUAUUUGUCUCUUAAAUGAAAUUCUCAAUUAGGGUUGUUUCUGAAUCCAUUAGGGUUACCAAAUAAUGAAGGAGCCCUCUUACCUAGGGAUCACUUAUCAGGUCCUACAUCUUUCUCCCCUUCAUCUGAUAUACGGAAUGGGAUUUCGGAUGCCUCCUCUGAUUAUACUGAGAAAUCAGGUGUUUCUGAUGGUUCAAAGCGUGAGUCGAGAUUGCAGCUUGGCUCUCCAGUACAUAGUUCCUCUGGGAGUUUGACUGAUUGGAUACCAUUUCAGGGCCAUGGCCACGGCAAUUUCUGCCUGGAUAAGGAUAUUGUUUCACGUAAUGCUUCGUCAAAUAGUCUUCAAGAUUGUAGAGAAACACAUCAGGAGUUACGCAAUUGUAGUGAGACAUUCAGUUUUCCUGCUGGGUACUUCAGUAAUCAUGUUGCUGAUAAUAGAGAGGUUUCUAAUGUUGAUCAGCGGAAUCAUGAGCUUGAAUUACAGCUUGCAUGUUCGGAAGGAGUUGACUGUGAUGAUGGUAUGUGACCUAUCUGCUAAUGGAAUGGAAUAGUAUCCAUAGCUCUAUUUGCUUUGCUUAGUUUGUCAUCUAUCAUCUGCUUCUGUUGAUGACUAGGAUGCAUUACUUCCUUUUUGAAUUUGAUCAUGAUUAACUUAGUUUUUGUAAUUCUUUCAGAUUCUUAUGAAACCCCAUCAAACAAAAAGAAUAUGUUGGAGGUAUCAGUGGCAUCCAGUAUGGAUGAAUUUUCUGGGAGCAGUAUGUAUAAUGGUAGAUUGGCAGGAUAUGGUGACCAAUAUUCAAACGCUCCGGUUUUUGUCAAUCUGGUUGAUCCGUCAUUUUCUGCCUUUUCAAAUGAGUUUAGUCCAUGUGAUUUUGGUUUCAAUUUGUUACCGAACAAUGAUAAUAAGAUGAUUGGCAUGAUGAAGGAAAAAGUUGAGCAUUUGACUCAGGACACAAGCUCAAAUUGUGUGAUGUCCAAUCAAGUGCAGAAGUUGGAUGAUGCAGACUGGGAGGUUCUUGCACCUGGGGAUCUGGCUGGCAAGGGACUUAGUGCUGCAAGUGUGGGUGUAAACUAUGCUUCUUUAGGCGAUGGGGGUUCAUUUUCUAGAUUGAGUAAUGAGUUCUUCAUGAAGCAAGAGAAUGAUGCAAAACUGAACCGGCUAAUUGCUUCUGAGGUCAUUGCAUUCCAGCAUGGCAUUGAUAUAACCAGUAUGAAGUCUCCUGCUGACACUUUUGGGGUGUCUUUUGGUCAAGGGCGAAAGCCAUCUGAGUCAGGUUAUUGGAUGUCUAACUCAAGUGAGAACCAUGAAUUUUCCGUAGAAGAUGAAAGAAAUUUAAUCCAUGAAUCUAAAAGGCCCAGGCUGGGUCUUGAUGAGUAUGAUGGGACUGCAUCUGGAAAUCCCAGUUCAGUUUUUCAUGAUCAAUAUCUGGAUCUACUGAACUCAGAGCCAUCAGGUGUGCCAGUAUCCAGUACAAUUAAGCAUCAAUUUCUUCAUGCAAAUGUAACGAAAGAGAGUUGGCCCAGUUUAAGUGGCCAAGAGGUUCGCAGUGAUUCUUCGGUUCAAACAUGCAGCACUGAUGAUGAUGAAGAUGUAUGUAUUUUGGAGGAUAUUAGUGGACCGGCACGGCCAUAUUUCUCUGCUUUUAAUGGGAAGUCAUUUUUUGUUCCAAAGAGUACUGUGAUUUGUAAUUCCUUUAAUUCUGUUGGACUGGGACACAAGAAGGCAAAUGGUGAGCGCUUUGUAUUUCGAGCUGCGUUGGAGGUGAGUCCUGGUAGCAUGAGCAGUUUCUUGGAUUUGGUUGAACUUAUUGAUCUAUUGGAAGUAAACUGAUUCCUUUCUGACAAGAAAGCGGUGGUAAAAUGUGGUUAUUCUUGACAUGUCCCCUUUCCUAGGAUUUUAGCCACAAACGAAAGCACAAAAAACACGAGAUAAUUAGUCCCUCUUCAACUUUCGUUUUGAUGCCUCUUCUUUCAACUUUCUUCUUCAUUUGGUCUCUCUAGAUCCAUCAUUUGGGUUUCCUUAACUGCAGUGUCUCUUUGCAAUCGUGACAAGGUUUUGUUUCUAGAAAUUUCCUUAUGUUAUAAAUUUCUAUCACAACAGAAACAACGUACUGCUUCCAUGCGAAUGUGGCUACCAGCAUGGUCACAGAACUUACUCUGUAAUUUGUCCUUGUAUUCAUCAGUUCAGCUUUAACAAUUUUAUCAGAAGUAUUACAAGUUCGUAUUAGAUUAACCUUAUGGAAACUUGAAAAUUUGAAGUAAACACUACAAGUAUUUUCAACACUCACUAAUUUUAUGGGACAAAAAGGGAGUAGAGGUAUUCUUUAAUUUAGGAGCUCUUAGUUCCUGGCUACUGUUAAUAUUAGAAGACGCUGUCAAUUUUUGGCUUUUUACAUCAAUUUGAACUCAAUUCUUCACCAUUGUUAUGUUGAACCAAACACGGACAUGGUUAGGUUCAAUCUUAGUCUGGUCCCAACAGAAUCAUUCAAGGAUUCUGUAGGAUUAAAUUCAUAUAAUUACAAAAUUAUGCCCAGUGUAUUACUUUACUUUUGGGCCCAACAAAUGAGGCCUUAGGAUUUGGGCAUGUUGUCCUAGCUCACAUACAUGUUGACUAGGAUGUUAGAAUGAGUUAUCUGAAUCAUUAAGAAGCAUUAGCAUUAGUAGUUUUGUUUAAUUUUAGCUAAUUAGUUGGUAGAUUAAUCAAUUGGCAUUCACAUACUGGAAGGACUGUUGGAGUUGGAAACUAUACAUGGAGCAUGUGGAGCUAGGCAUUUUCUCAAAUUUGUUCCUUUACUUGUGAACAUAGGCAUUAAAGAAAUGCAAGUGCACUUGUUUCCUGCUAUCCAUAUUACUAUCUUCAUAUGCUGCUGAUAAUUGUACAUAGGGAUCUUCCUGGACUGCUUUCAAUAUUGUGGAAUAGUAUCAUGACUUUGUGGCUUUUAUUGUAGGAUCUUUGUCAGCCGAAAUCAGAAGAUGCUCCACCUGAGGGCCUUUUGGCAGUUCCCCUUUUAAAACAUCAGGUUGGAUGCUUCUUUCUUUUCAUCUGUAUGGGAUUUUUUCCUUUAAAGAUGCAUGGACUAAGAGACCUUCUGAUGUGGACUAGAUAGGCCUCAUGAACCAAAUAUCUUAUUUUUUCCCCCUGCUUGUCAAUUUCUUUUUGUUCCUAAAAUCUGAUUAGUGUUCAAACUCUGCUUUGGUGUGUCACUUAACAAGUGGCUUUUGUUGACUUUUGGUCAGUGUAUUGCUUUUUUGGGAUGGUUAAGAAGGAGAAUGGUGAUUUAUGCUGUAUCAAUUUCUAUUUUGUUGUUCGAAAAAUUUAGCAGUUUAAUACUCUUAUGAGUUGAAGAAAUGUCUGCCCAGACAUAGUUGAUUUCUUUUUCCUGCUUGUCAAAUAUCCACACGUUUUUCUGCCUAAAAUCCGAUUAGUUCUCUGUUCAAACUCUGGUUUGGCGUAUAACAUAACAAGUGGCUUUUGUUGAUUUCUGUUCAGCGUAUUGCUUUAUCGUGGAUGGUUAAGAAGGAGAAUGAUGCUGUACGCUGUUCUGGUGGUUUUCUUGCUGAUGAUCAGGUUGCCUUUUGGGGUUCAAUAUCUGGUUUCUGUUAUUUUUCGCCCUUCUGCCUUCGGUGCUUGGGGUGAUGUUGCCAUGAGGCUGUUCCUCAUUUUGACUUUGGCUGGAUGAAAAUUUUUGCAGGGACUUGGGAAAACAGUUUCAACAAUUGCACUUAUACUAAAAGAGAGGUCUCCAUCUUCUACAAAAUCUAAUGGGAAAGAAAGUGAGGCAGAGACAUUAAAUUUGGAUGAUGAUGAUGAUGAUGAUGAUGAUCCUGGGUCUGAUGGUGGGAAACCAAACGAAGGUGUUGAGUCUUGUCAAGUGAGUGGAAGUUUUUGUGGGCAAAAGAUGGCUGCUGUUCAUGCAAAACGUAGACCAGCUGCUGGAACCCUCAUAGUAUGUCCAACAAGUGUCCUUCGUCAGUGGUCCGAGGAACUCCAAAACAAGGUCAGCAGUAAAGCUAACGUAUCUGUUCUGGUCUAUCAUGGAAGUAAUCGAACAAGAGAUCCUUAUGAACUGGCCAACUAUGAUGUUGUGCUAACAACCUAUUCAAUAGUAAGCAUGGAGGUGCCAAAACAACCCCUGGUGGAUGAAGAAGAGGAUGAGACAAAGUCACUGACAGAGCUGUCAUCUAGUAAAAAAAGGAAGUAUCCUCCAAGUGCUAGUAAAAAAUCAUCUAAAUCCAAGGACAAUUUGAAUGGUGAAUCGCUGUGUAAUCGUCCGCUUGCUGCUGUGGGCUGGUUUAGAGUUGUAUUAGAUGAGGCUCAGUGCAUUAAGAAUCAUAGGACUCAAGUUGCUAGGGCUUGUUGGGGUCUGCGUGCUAAGCGUAGGUGGUGCUUGUCAGGAACACCUAUGCAGAAUGCAAUUGAUGAUCUUUAUAGUUACUUCAGAUUUCUGAAGUAUGACCCAUAUUGGAUUUACAAAGAAUUUUGCUCUGGAAUAAAGGCCCCGAUUAAUGACAAUCCAUCAAAUGGGUACAAAAAGUUGCAGGCUGUGCUCAGGACCAUCAUGCUACGUCGCACCAAAGGUUAGAAUAAGCUUCUCUAAAUGCUUAAUAUGACCUUAUCCUUUUUGGAUUCUGAAUUAUUAAUACUGUUCGUUUUUCAUCAUUUCUUAUGACCUUUACCUUUUCUAGUGGUUAGCGUUAGCAAAUAUAUGACUGAUGGAACAAGUUAUGCACUAUAUGUAUCCUCAUGGCUCAUGGAACUUUUUAGCUGUCGAUUUACUACUGUGAGCUUUAUUCAUGUUUUCUUGCACCGACAAAUUUCCUUAGAGCUUGGUAUCAAUCUUCUACAUGAUUGCAUACAAAAUGAAAUAGUUUGAAAUUGUGAAGGAACUUACAUGGUAAGCAGUAUUCCUCUUGUUAUCUUUCUGUUACUGAGAUAUCUUGUAGGACAGAACAUAUGUGGGUAGAAAUGACCUAUGAUUGCCUCGUCUAGGGCAACAUGUAUCAAGCAUUAACUAGGAUAAACAAAUUAUCGAAAUCAUUCAGUUUCCCUUUCUGGUAGGCACCCCUGUCCUUUUCAGUUCAAAUGGCAUACAUUCUUUGAUUGACACAUGUUCUACAUUUGUUUAGUUGAAUAAAUGGCCUUGAUAGUUUCUGAGAAAAUUUCAACCGUUAUAAUUCUACUUCAGCAAUGUUUAGAUAUCUGGAUCUGGGUGCAUACAUUGCUGUAUCUUUUCUUGGUUUGUCCAUCAACUAACUGAGCUCAAGUCAUUGUCUUAAAGGACCUUGGGAAAGAAAAGAUGGUUGCAGGUUGGGAUGGGGGAACUCAAGAUACAUCCUACUAUAAUUUUAGUCAUUUUUGUAUUUUGUACCCAUUUGUUCUGAAGCGGGAGGAUAAUGGGUUGCUGUUAAUUAGAUAUGAGAGUCCGACUCGGGCUUCUUUGUUUGUGGAAACCUUUUUGCCUACCAGUUGUUGGUAACUUGUUUUAGUUCUUUUGUUCACUCUGGUGAGAAAGAAACUACAGGAUUUUCAAUGGGGCUCGUAUUAACAUAGAACAAGUCAAUGGUGGUCUGGAAGACUCUCUAAUUUUGGAUUCAGGAUAUGUUCUAAGAGAUUGCUUAUUAUUUGCUGAUUUUUGUGGCCAAGCACUUAGAGAUGUCAUAGAUAGGUUUUCUUUUGUAGUGGGCUUCCCCUGGUCCUCCGAACCCCCAGCCCCGGGUGCUUUUACUAAUAAAUUAACUCUCUUAAAAAAAUUGUUGUAGUUCUAUGUGUAGCUACUACACUCUGUUGUGUAGUUCUAAUAAAUUAACUCUCUUAAAAAUUGUUAUGGUUCUAUGUGUAGCUACUACACUCUGUUGUGUAAAUAUCUAGAGUAUCAUUGCUAUCAGUUUGUAGUUCUAUAUGACUCGUCUCAUUUUUGCUGAUGAUGUUUGUCAAGGUACUAUUCUUGAUGGAGAACCAAUCAUCAACCUUCCACCCAAAACAAUUAAACUGUGUAAAGUGGAUUUCACGCAGCAGGAGCGAGAUUUUUACUGCAGACUUGAGGCUGAUUCACGUGCUCAGUUCGCAGUAUGUGUCCAUUUAAUUUUGCAGUUGUGUGGAUUGGUGGUUCUGCAAUUCUUGAGUUUUAAUUUUCAGAUUUCUAUUAUACCAGGAGUAUGCAGCUGCUGGGACUGUAAAGCAGAAUUAUGUUAACAUAUUGUUGAUGCUUUUGCGACUUCGACAAGCCUGUGACCAUCCUCUUCUUGUUAAGGGAUUCGCUUCUGGUUCAAACUCAAUAUCCUCUCUUGAUAUGGCCAAGAAAUUACCACAUGAGAAGCAAAUUCAUCUUCUGAAUUGUUUUGAAACUUCCUUAGCAAUUUGUGGUCUAUGCAGCGUAUGUUGUUAAUCCGUGAUCCUUCUUUAUGGUUUACAUAUAUAAUGCUCUUUCACCCUUUUUUUGGAUUGGUAAAUUUGGGUUUACUGAUAUUCCUUUUGGCACUUGUCUUUUUUUGUACUUAUGUAUAUCCUAUUUUACGUGGCCCAUUCCUCACCAUCUUCCAUUGUCAAGAGAAAAGCAGCAUUAGUAUUGGCAUUUCUACAGUGAUUUUUUUUUGGUGUCUAACACAGAUUUUGCUUAAAUAAAUAUUUGAAACUGAAAACAUUUUUGGCAAUUGAGUUUGGAAAUCAUGAAUCUUAGUGUGGGUCCAUUCCAGCUCUUUGCUCUGAGCAUGAUGAAGCUUUUUGGCUAGCUCUUUUGAGAUGUUUCAUAAUCUGUUUAUGUCAUAUCAGCUGUGGCAUAUUGUUGAUGGUCAUGCAUAGCAAUUACAUUUGGGGAGCAUUUAGGUUCAUCCAUUUGAAAAACAAAGACCACGUGCACGAACUUUUAUCAAACCUUCGGAUCUUCUGCAUCUACUUUUGGUUAAGAAUUGUUUCUGUCUUCUUUGUUUUUUGUUUUUGUGUUUUUUCUUUCAUAUAUUUUAUUGCUAUUAUUAUUUUAUAGUUCUUCGAAUUGGUUGUUGUACCCUAUAGUUUUAAAUGAUGUCUCAAGCAGCAAAUGAAGAGCGCAUUAUGGAUUUUAAGAAUCUGUAUGUAAAAUAUGGUAUGUAUUAGUGGUUAAGUAAACAUUAUUGUACAGUCUCCAGUGAGGUUCUUAAAUCUAGUUUUUCUAUUUUUAUUAAAUUCUGCCUAUUGAGAUGCUUUUUAAUUUUAUCUUUAUUCUGAUCAAAGCAAAGGAUUUAGUAGUCAAUUGUUUGGAUUAGUGUCUUGUAUGAGUUGCUUACAUUAUUUUCUUCUAAAUUGUAAUCCAUUAUUAUAUGUUGUUCUUUUUCCCUCUCUGGUUGAUUGAUAUGUUUCUGUUUGCUUGCAAUCCCUGCUAUGGAAAUUGCUUCAAUUUUUUCUUAGCAUUACACAAUAUAGAAAUCAUUUUUCAGUAGUGCAUAAAGUUUAAGUUUUUCUUUUUCUUUUCUUUUAAACAGUUAACGUUUUUAGUAUGAUAGUUGCUCUUUCCAAGAUGGAGAACGUUUCCUAUUAAAAUGUUUAGGAACUUGAUGUCCUAAUUAAAACAUUUUAUAAGUUUCUAUGAUGCUGAGAAUUAGGCUGAGGAAGACAUGAUAUGGAGAAAUCAUUUGCUUCUUCCCAGAGAAAGAAAAGAAGACAAGUUACAUUUUUUUUAAAUCUUUGUUUAUUUGUUGGUGACAGUUCUUGGAAUUCUGUAUAGUUAAUGCUUUUUCUUUUAGUUUAAAAUUUUUGCCUAAGCAUUUAGGCUAGAUAAUUCUAUACUCUCCUCUAUAGUGUUUCAGUAAUUUUUCUUGAAGUGUAAUUAUACAUCUGCUGUUGAUACUCAAGUUAAUUAUUUUUUCAUAGUUUCUUGCUGUUUCAGAUUUGUUAUUUAUCAUAGUUCAUUAUCAUGUAGGAUCCCCCUGAAGAUGCUGUUAUAACUAGCUGUGGACACGUUUUCUGCAAUCAGUGCAUAUGUGAGCAUCUAAGUGGUGAUGACACCCUUUGCCCAACUGCAAAGUGCAAAGCUCAUCUUAACAGAUCUUCUGUAUUUUCUGUAGCAACACUAAGAUGUUCUCUAUCUGAUCGGACUACUUUGGAAAGCAAUUCUAAUUGCUCUUUUGAUUGCGCGUAUGAUUCUUCAAAAAUUAAGGCUGCUAUUGAGGUCCUGCAGUCAGUGACUAAAAGACAGAAUUUUUCACAAGUUAGUUCCUCAAGUUCUGUUGAGGAAGGAAUUUCUAGUGUAGAGAAUACGUCAAGUGUUCAUUCAGGAGGAUUGCAUGGGAAAACAUGUAGUAAAGAAGAAAUAAAGGGCAUGGCUGAAUCUUCUUGUGGUUCAGUUACAGUAGUGGGGGAAAAAGCAAUUGUGUUCUCCCAGUGGACGAGAAUGCUUGAUUUACUUGAAGGUUGUCUGAAGGAUUGUUCCAUUCAGUAUAGGAGACUUGAUGGAACAAUGUCCGUUGUUGCCAGAGAUAAAGCUGUGAAAGAUUUUAAUACUCUUCCUGAGGUUUGUUGAAAUGUUGGCAUAUUUCUGAACUGUGGUUUCAUAUUUUGAUUAUUCCUAGCUUUAAAACUCAAACUUCUGUAGGUCUCUGUAAUGAUUAUGUCUUUGAAAGCUGCAAGUCUUGGACUGAACAUGGUAGCAGCAUGCCAUGUUCUUCUUCUGGACCUUUGGUGGAAUCCAACAACUGAGGAUCAAGCGAUUGACCGUGCUCAUAGAAUUGGGCAGACCCGUCCUGUUACAGUUUUCCGUUUGACUGUGAAAGAUACAGUUGAAGACCGCAUUUUGGCCCUUCAGGUAUUGACUUAUUUUUAAGUUGUAGGUGUUUCUUAGAUUUCAUCCCAUAUGUUAAUCUUCAACAUACAAGAUAGUCAUAAUUGCUGGAUUGAAACUUACUUGAGCGGUUAAUUUUCUGUGAACCAUUUCUCUUGUGUUGAACAGGAUUUUCUUUUUUCUGGUUGGUUGCAAAAUUUUUGUUAAGUCUGUACAAAAUCAAACCUUUGCCCAGUGUUUUUGUCCAUCAUAAAUACCAUUUUGUAUCUAUUCUAUGGGGUGAAUUAUAGUAACCUUCUCUGGCGUUUGUGAUCAUUACAUGCAGCUCCUAUGAGGUUCCUUCAGUACACUUUGAAUUGCUUUAAGUUCCAAGUCAUGUUGCAUAAAUCUCAUAUAUACAUUGAUAUCCACAAAUUAAGUCCUAAAAAUACUAGCAUUAAAUGUGACAUUCUAUGCUGGUGAUCAAAUUUAAGUGUCGGAUUAGGAGAUAGAACAAUAAUUUGAAGAAGUUGAUGUGGGAGGGAUUCAAAAAAUCUUUGCAAAGGUGAGUUCGACUUGCUGUCUUUUUUUUUUUAAUCAUCUAGAAAAAGAAAUAUGAGACUGGUACUUCAUGCUAUAAUAUAAUGAUGGAUCUGUGAAUCUCUCGCUUGGUAUGAACUAAAACGCCAGGUUUAUGUUUGGGAUAUGCUCUGAAACUCUUUAACCUUCUAGUGUUGUUUCACGCCCUUGGAGCUUUAUUAACAAUGCUGCCUAUUUUUUGUUGUGUUGGGGCACUUGUAAAGCCUUGCUGGAUAAAUCUCAAAUGUCUAGUUGUCCAAUAAUUGAUCUAUAUUUUUAUUGGUAUGACUUUUGGUAUUCCUAAUGAGUGGAGACCACCUGUAUUUUCCAGCAAAAAAAGAGAGAGAUGGUUGCCAAUGCAUUUGGAGAGGAUGAGACUGGUGGCCAAGCGACUCGACUUACUCUGCAGGACUUGGAAUACCUGUUUAGAGCGAAAGGCUGAGAAGGUAACUUUUAGAAGUGUGUGGCUUUGUAUGCUCAUUAUUAGCAAAGUGCAAAUGAUGGGAGCUGUUGAAAUAGAUCUUAGGACUAACUGGAACAGGUGACCACAUUUUAUAUGAUGAUGAUGAUUGAUCAUGUGGACCGUCAUUGAAGGCUUGCGUGAUCGAAUUUUUGAACCAUUGGUUUCUUAUAGCUUUACCGUGUAUAGGAGGAGUUGGGACACUGCAUAUUUCAUCCGAUGAGGAUAGAUCCCUGCUGGGUAUCGAUGAUUCUUUCAAGUUGCAUUGUAAAUGAUAGGUUCCUUUUUGCCCUUUUUGGCUGGAUAUAACCACAAAUUGACGGUGUUAUUUUGAUUGGUUAAUAUAGUGAGCAUCUUUUUGGUGAACUUUCCGUCUUGUCUCUCGCUUAUUUUUUUUUAAAAUUUAUUAUUUAUAAUUUAUCAAUGUUGCUGUGGUUCAUUUUUAAUUUUUAGUUUUCUUGGAAGUGAGUAUAGUCGAUACGUUGAUCUUGACAACCAGACGGUUAUUUUGGCUUUCUAAACUUUUUUGUUUUUUGCUUGGUGCUGUGGGAGUUAAAACCUGGCACUUAGUGUUCGUGUCAAUUUGAUUUCUGACUCUAUCCAACUGAAAUGGCUGACCUAUAUAUUAUACGGAUCAUUGAAAUUUCUUUCUUUGUUUGGUGUCUUGACUGCAAUCACAACUUGCAACAGGGUUCUCUAGGCUGGCUUCCUUUGAGACGGAAUUGUAACUUUAUAUCCAACCAUUGGUUGGUUGGUUGGUUGGUUGGUUCUAGGCUUUUUAGCUUCAAGAUGCCCCUUUUUUUUGGGGUAACCGGUAGUUUUUGAAACCAAGACAUCCUACUUUAUUAUGAUAAUUCAAAUUCAUUGUAUCAUAUAUAUUAAUUUAGAAGAAAAUAAUAAUUGAUGACAAGAUAAAAUGUUAAGCGUUAGAUUAGACUGUAAGUUCCUAAUGAUUAGAUUAAUUACAUUCUGAUAAUAGCAAUGGUGGUAGUAGUUAUGAAAAAAAAAAACUCUUAAACUUAAUUAAAUUCGGAGUAUGAACUGAAGCAAAAUAUAAUACUCCAUGCGUUCCGUCUUCAAAUUUUAUUUCAAUUUAAAAUUCUUGAUUAGUCACAAUCUAAUUCAAUUUCCAUGUUGUUCAAAAUAUAGCCAAAGAGAUGUUAGUAUUUAUCCAACGUAUGGGAUGAAAAAAACCUUUAAACUAAUCGUGCAUGGCGUCAACAUAAGUUGGUUUAAUUGAUCAAUUUCUAAAUCGUUCAAAAUAUUGCCAAAGAGAUGUUAGUAUUUAUCGAACGUAUGAGAUGAGAAAAGCCUUUGAACAAAUUGUGCUUGGCACCAACACAAGUUGGUUCAAUUGAUAAGGACGGGAUAAUUUUUUCAUAAAAGAUUGUGCGUUCGAAGCCUCCUAUCGAUGUAAAGGCUGUUCGAAGCCUCCUAUCGAUGUAAAGGCUGUAUUGGUGGGUGAUUUGUAAUAACUCCAAUAAGCGAUCUAUCAUUUCGGGGGUACACGUUGACCUCCGAUGGUAAUUAGAGACGAAUUCAUUCAAACUUAAAAAAAAAAAAAAAAACUUGAACCUCGGUAAGUGACUUAUGGUUUCGAGAGUACGCCUUGAUUCGUGGUGGUAACCAGAGCCGAAUCCAUCCAAAUUUUAAAAAACAAAAAAAAAAGAAAAAAAAACCUUGGUUGGCCAAUAUUAGUAUUCGUCCAACCUUGUUUUUUUUUGUUUUUUGGAGUAUUCAUCCAACCUUGCUUGGUUAGCUUGGUCAAUGUACGCAUUUAGGCAAGUCAAUAGGUAGGGUCUAAAUUGGAUUCCUUUUAUCCAGAUCCAGACCCGUUGGCUCCGUUUGGAUUAGCUGUUUUGGGGUUGUUUUUCAAAAACACCACUGUAGCAUUUCGAAUCUGAAAAACAAGUCCGUUUGGAUUAGUUGUUUUUGGGGUUGUUUUUCAAAAACUAUAUGAAAAACUUUUACUGUAGAUUUUUUUGAAUUAUUUUUAGAGGUAUUUUUGAAACAUAUUUUUGAGUAUUUUUAGAAUAUUAUAAUUUUUAUAUUUUUAUAUAAAUAUACAUUUAUUCAUUUAUAAUACAUUUAUAUUUACAAAUGUAUAAAUGUAUAUUAUUACAAAUGUAUAAAUGUAUAUUAUUAUAAAUGUAUAAAUUAUAAAUGAAUAUUAUAUAAAUGUAUAAAUUAUAAAUUAUAAUUUUUAUAUAAAUAUACAUUUAUGCAUUUAUAAUACAUUUAUAGAUAUUUAUAAAAAAAUAUAUUUAUAUAUUCAUAUAAAAAUAUAUAAAUGUAUUAUAUUAUAUAUAAUACAUAAUAUAAAUAUAUUUAUAAAUGUAUAAGUGUAUAUUAUUAUAAAUGUAUAAAUUAUAAAUGAAUAUUAUAAAUAUAUUAUAAAUUAUAAGUGUAUAUUAUUAUAAAUGUAUAAAUUAUAAAUGAAUAUUAUAAAUGUAUCAAUUAAUAUAUUAUAAAUAUAUAUUAAUAUUAUGUAGAAAUAUGUUUAUAUAAAUAAUAUAAAUGUAUAUAUGUAUUAAUAUUAUGUAUAAAUGUAAAAUUAAUAUUAUGUAUAUUAAUAUAAAUGUAUAAAUGUAUUAUAUUAUGUAUAAUACAUAAUAUAAAUGUAUAUUUAAAUGUAUAAGUGUAUAUUAUUAAAAAUGUAUAAAUUAUAAAUAAAUAUUAUAUAAAUGUAUAAAUUAAUAUAUUAUAAAUAUGUAUUAAUAUUAUGUUGAAAUGUAUUAAUAUAAUUAAUAUAAAUGUAUAAAUGUAUUAAUAUUAUGUAUAAAUGUACAUUUAUAUAAAUGUAUAAUAUAUUAUAUAUUAUAUUAUGUACAAUUUAUAUAACAUAUAAUAUUUAUGCAAAUAUAUUAUAAAUAUAUAAAAUAUAUUAUAAAUAAAAUAAAUAUUUAUAAUAUGUAUGUAUAAAUAUAUAAUAUUAGAAAUGUAUAAUAUAUAUAAUAUAAUUUAUAUAUAAUAUACAUAAUUGAAAUAUACACAUUAAUAUAUAUUAUAAAACAAAAUUGCAUAAAUAUAUUUAUAAAUUUAAAUAUAAAUAAAUGUAUUUAUAUAAAUAUAUAAUAUUAUACAUAAUUGAAAUAAAUAUAUUUAUAUUAAUAUAAUAUAUAUAUAUAUAAUAUACAUAUUAAAAUAUAUAAUUAAAAUAUAUUAAAAUAUAAUUGAAAUAUACAUAUUAAAAUACAUAAUUAAAAUAUACAAAUUGAAAUAUACUUAUUAAAAUAUACAAAUUAAAUAUGCAUAAUUGAAAUAUAUUUGGAGUUGUUUUUGAUAUAUUGUUUGGAUAUAGUUUGUUUUUGAAGUUGUUUUUGAAAUACACAUUUACUGUAGCAUUUGGAAUGUGAAAAACAGUUUUUCAAAAACAGGCACAAAAACACUCAAUCCAAACGGACCCGUAAAUCCAUACCCAGAGCCUUAUGGAUUUGGGUAUCCAAUAGGCAUCCAUGGGUAUUUUCUAAACAUAUUAAAGUAAAAAUAUAUUAAAAAUAUAUAGAGUUCAUAAAUAAUAUAAAUACCAUCUAAUUUUUUUUUCAACUAAUAAAAUUAACAUUCAACAAGUUGAAUGCAAUAUUGUGAACUCAAAGAAAGAAUUAUUAUUGACUAUUUCUAUAUAUUUUCAAAGAUUCAACUUCAUCCACAUCCAACAUUUCAUUCGUUCACUUUUAGCUUUUCUUGAAAAAAUUUGUACAAAUUAUAAUGACAAUUAGGAUUAGUUUUUAAAAAGAAAAACAACCAUAACAUAUAUAAAUAUAUAGCUUUAUUAAAAAAAUAUAAUUUUGUACCUCUUUUUCUUAUUUAAAUCUUAAUAUUGGUAGAUGUCUCGCAAUCCAGUACUAAAAUAGUGAAUGAGAUAAAAGUCAUUUGACUAAAAACCAAUGGCAAAUAAAUAAUAGAAUAAGAAAAUUUAUAAACACUUAACUCAUUUUUUUAUUCAAUCCAAUCAUCAGUAAUUACUAAUGUUUCAAUUAUAUCUGGAACCAAUUUAGCACAAGUCUCAUCAAUUAUCCAACCACCAACACUAAAUGCAAAUUCUGAUGCCAUGAAAUGUUACUGUAUUUGAUCCAAUAGUCAUAAAAUAUUAGGUUAUUUUAUAAAUUUACUAAUAUAUAUAUUAUUUAAUUAAAUAUAUAUGAGUUUGAGUAGGAAUUGGUAUGGAUUUGAAUUUGAAUAUGGAUUCUAGAAAAAUAAACCCUAUUCAAACCCAGGACUCUCUCAUAGGAUCUAAGUUUGGGUAGGGUCUGAAUUUGAGAAAUUAAAUCCAAACCCUGUCCAAAUAUAUUAGAUCUGAGUUGGAUAUGGAUAAGAUUCGACCUAUUCACAUGCCUAUCCGUAUUCAUCCAACCUCGCUUGGCCAACUAAUGUUGAAAGCAGGCUGAGUCUGAGAGGUCAUUCUCGAGAGAAAACAUUUCCACUAAUAAUCACCAACCAAUGUUGAAAGCAUGCUGAGUCUGAGAGGUCAUUCUCAAGAGAAAAUGUUACCACUAAUAAUCACGGACAUUUGCUUAGGCAAUAAGCAGAAUAAAAGGAGUAUCGUUUGAUUUAAUUUCCUUGUUUCUGAAUCCUAAGGUAUGCCAAUAAUACAUUGGCUAUUCUUCCUCCUUAAGACGCAUCGAAAUCUGGCCAAUUCUAAAGUAAUGAAAAGCUUAACAAUAAAUUUCUAAUGGUACUUUGCUUAAAUUAAAGAAAAACUACAAGAAAUCUGUGAACAUAGAGGGUUAGUAGCUGGCUUCUCCUGUUGUGCAAAUAAAAAAAAUGCUAAUAUCGUAAGUAAACAAUUUCAACUAGAUAUAGAAAAAAUAUCACGUUAAAUUUUGCAAGCUACUGGGAUAAAAGUUUUCAAUUCCGUGGCUUAUCACCCCACAUGGACAAGUCGUUAAUUUUCUUUUGUUCUGCAAAAAUACAUAAGAGUUUGCAAAAAUCGUAAUUGAAGCUUUAAUGUGUAGUCUAUUGGAAUCCAUGGAAAUAGGUGUAGUAGCGGAGAGGUACAAGGGAAUAGACAAUCUGAAUAAAGAAAUUUAGGCCUUGUUUAAUAACUCAAUUUAGCACUUAAAUUUAAUGGAUUCAAAUCUUAACAUAUUCACACCGUUUGAUAACGAAAAAUUGAACAUUUGAAUUAAUUAAAUGGCACUGGAUUUUCAAGAAAAAACUUGCUCUCAAAAUUAAGUGAUAAGUUAUUCACUUAUCACUUAAUGUAAUAUGCACUCAAAUGUAUUAGAUUUAAUGGUUAAUAAUUUAAUAAUUUAAUGGAUUUAGACUUUAGAUUUCAGAUUUCAGACUUCAAUUUUAUCACAUGCACCCUUAAUCGGUAUAGAAAAAUUUUCCUUUAAGAAUACUUGCAAAUUUCUGAGAUUCGUACUUUCUAAAUUUUAAUUAUGUUUGGAUAGCAAAUUUUUCCAAAAAAAUUUUUUCACUUGCAUCAUAAACACAUUUUUUAAUUCACCUUUUUAUAUUUUCAACCACCUUUUUAUCUCACAUAUAUCACAUCACAAAAAAUGCUACAGUAAUUAUUCCAAAUAAUUAUUUGGAAUAACACUCUACCCAAACAUGUGUCACUUUUUUCCGUGUUUGUCCACGUAAGAAGUGAUAUAAUCGUGAUGAGAAGAUCGACGUUAUAAAAAAGAGAGAGAAACAUAUUCACUGAAUGCGUUGUUUAAGAAAUCGGAUUAAUUAUUUUCUCAAAAAAAAUUCUCAAAUCCUGCUACCUUUUUUACAAAAAAGAACUCUCAAAUAGUGAAGGUUUUAGAAGAACAUAUUCACUGAAUACGCCGUUUAAGAAAUAUACAUCUAUAUAAAUUAAAAAACAUAUUUAGUAAAUGCAUCUUCUGAAUAGACACUGUAUUCGCUAAAUUCGUUUUCAUCAUUUGAGAAAAUGUUCGAAAAACAUCAACCUUUAAAAAUAAAUGUCACGGUUUGGAAAUUGGUUGGAUGUUGCGAUUCAAAAUCUAAGGUUAGUUAAUAGACUUUGUGUGACAUGUUUGGUAACUUUGAUGCCAUUCCUGUCCUUUUUUCAAUCAACAAAUAACUGAAUAAGCUGCGCUCUUUGCCCCCUAAGGGGCCCUUUUCUUUAGUGAGAUGAUUUUCUCAUGAGAGGCAAGGGGAUGAAUUAUCUAGUGGACCGCUAUGCACGUCCGGAAAGCAAAUAAUUGAGAAAUGAUUGUUAAGACCUUUUCAAUUGUAGUCAAUAUCUUAUAAACAAAUAAUCGCAAAACUUUCAGUAGCAAAAAGGGAGCAGACUGGGGCUUAAAGAAAAGAACUUGUUAUUUGGCCUAACUUUAGUAGAUGUAAAAGUAAUUAAUUGGACAGGAAUAAAAGGAUCGACCUUCCAAACAAUGGUUUUUUUUUUUUUUUUCUGCAAAGAAACGAUGUGUUAUCUUCUGAAUGAGAAAUGUUUACUUAAAAUUUUUUGUUUUUAAAGAGGUAGACAAAAUAUGGACCCCCGAGAAGGACUAGAAAGAUGAAUUUGAAUUAGUCGAAAGGAUGUUGGCAAAUUAAGAUAGGACAUCCUUUCGGCUAGAAAAUUUUGGAUUUGGAGCAACUAGAAAAUUUUGGCUUCCCCGCAGAGUUGAUUUUGGACGAGACAUUUGCUGCUUAAGAGCAGUAAUAUGUUUAAUUUUGUGUAAGUUGUGCUUGUCAUAUUUUUAUGUCAAUAUCAAGAAUAUCAAAGUCCGAAUUAGUGAAUUCAUCUGUCUAACAAUCAUAAUGGACUAUACCAGCUUGGUUGGGUUGAGGUCAGCAUUAAUUUCUUUGUAUCAAUUCUAAGGAUUCUUGAAAGUUGAAAGGUCACGUUACUGUCCUACUUCAAUGUUGGUGACUGACGGGCAAAACCGAGUUACGGAGGUGGACUUUGACUUCAUCUUUCCUGAGGCCAUGAAAGUGUUCUAGAGACCUUGCAAAGAAGUCCAAGUUAGCAUUAUUGAGCCAGCCUGUUUUGACUCUUCCUCUUGAGUGAGUGUGACACAGUAUUCUUGUUUUCAGUUCAUCAGCACUUAAAUGAAAUGGUGGUGUUUUUACUUUUUAGGUGACUUAAAUCUGGGAGAGCUAGCUGUAUUCCAAUCCUUCUGCUAAAAUUAGGGUUCUCUUUUUCUUGAAUGCCUAUAUGUUUCUUCGUUUAUAGGGCUGCAGUUUGCCAUAAUUAGGAAACUAUCUACCUAACUUGAGUAGUAGAGUGGUGGUUGGGGAGAUCUGUUAGAGUCAUUUUCGCCAUGCAAUUUAUGAUUUGCUAUCGUACUUCUUGUAUUACUGCCGUACUUCUUGUAUGCAAUUUUGUUACUGUUAAAAUUAUGAUUUGAAUUUUGUUUCUGACAGUUAAGAAUAGAAUAGGAAGAGAAUGAAGAGGGGUCGGAGGGUGAAAAAAUACAUAUAUAUUAAAAAAAAUCUAUACUUAUAUUUACCUCGCUUGAGCUUUAGUAAAUUUUGUUUUCUGGUGAUUUGUCUGAUUUAUUGCUAUGAUUACGACCUAUGAUUUCAUUUCUGUCCUCGGUUUCUUUUUGUUUUCCUAUUAGUUGCUUUUUGUUCCAAGCCAAGUGAAAUUAGCUCAAAGGAAGUGGAAAAUAUACGCAUGGCAUGGUCUCAACUCUCAAACUUGAUCUUUUUCCACUGGCUGCCUACUAAAUUGAGACCCCAUGGCAAAGGUUGUUGAGAUCAGUCAUACUUCCACAUUCGUACUUGCUAAUAAUAAGUAUGUCUUUAAACUCGAGGAGCCAGAUCAGGCAAACUUGUCACCCCGUUUAAUGCAAAGUCUACAAAUUAGUCAAUUACUAAUUCUCAUAUUUAUACGAAUACGAUUGGAUUGGAUUGGAUUGGAUUGUAACCAGUGAUAUAUUGUCACACCACUCACCACUUGACAAGUAGGGUAGACCCACCAUUUGGUUUCAUUCAAAGCCAUCGAAAUAGACUAAUAAUGCAUCUAUCCAAGUGUUUGGACACCCAAGUUUUUGUACAAAGUAGAUUGUACUUACUUGAAUUGUAUAUACAAUUUUAAUAACUUUUGUAUUCCAUUAGUCUCGUUUUGAUGCUCUUACUUUUCUUUUUUAACCGUCUCAAUUUAUAGUCCACCUUCCAAUUCAAUAAUAUAAUAAACUUUUAACUUCUCUAAGAUAUCUUUAUUUAAUAUACAUUGUUAUCAAUAAAUAUAACCUAUCCUAUUUAAUACAGUUUUUUACCAAUAAUUAUUUUGAUAUAUGUAUUGAAUGGUGCAAUAUACCAUCAUUAUUGUUGUUAUAAUUAAAAAGGUAUAGUGAUUAGUGGUAUUCUUAAUAUUAAUGUAAACAUAUUUUAGGAAAAAUAUUAGUCUAGAUUUACUUUUUCAACAAAGUUAACUAUUUUUUUAAAACUGUGUGAGAAAAAAAAAUCAAAACUAUCAAAAAAAAUAAAAACUAUAAAAAAUGAAAUAGAGAGUAUCUCACAUAUAUCACAAUACAAAACGCUGUUUUUUCUGUCUAGGCGCAUGUGACUCCACUUCCAUUGUUAUUUUUGAACAUUUUUAGUACUUGUAGAGGAAAUUUAGAACCUCGUUUUGUGCAAAUGGAAUUUAGGACUACCUGCCCAACACAGAAUUACUUUGGCGCCGCAGGCUAUCGCCGAAUCCUAAAGACUCCAAUGUCAUUGUUGCUUCAUCCGAAUAUAUAUACAUAUAUAAAAUGGUACUCAUAUAUAUGCACACAACCAGAAAGUAAGCAAUAUAUGAUAUGAAGGCUGUACCCGUUGUUAAAGAAAAUGAAACAAAGUUGAUAAUGAGAAUUAGUUAAUGAAGUCAAGGACAAAUUUAUGCAACACUGCUUGAAGCUCAAAGGACAAAAUAUGAGAGGAUCCAUAACUUUACACUGAAUUUACAAUCACCCAAAUCCAAUACCUCUUGAAAUUCUUUCACUGGACGUUCCUUCAAAAACCAGAAGAUCUUCGACUAAUCCAAGGUUUUCUUUUCUAGUACACAGAAUCACAGAUAAACAAGCAACUCUGGUGCAUUAAGAUAUUAAGUGAACAAACCUUCUCAUCUGCCUCUGUUAUUUAUUGAUGAUCAAGUUGUUCAUCAACCCAACGAAAGGAGUCUCUUCAACUCUUGUGACCAAUCAGAUUACAUUUGAUGUAAUUUGUGUUUGGGGUUUCACAAGUUUCAUUUCAAACACGUUUGACUUAUAAGUAUAAAUGCUCUAAAAUUGCAUGUAAAUAAAUUAUAGAUAUGGCGUAAAUAAGUUGCAAUACGAUGUAAAAAAAAAUAACAGAGAGAUUUAGAAUGGUAAUUUCGCCUUGAAAUGGAACUUGUAAACGCUAGAACCAUGUAUUUUUCAUUCCACAUCAAUCAGAGUACAACUUUUUUCAUUGUUAAACUUUCCACAGGUCGGGCGUGGUAAAAGAAAGUUACAUCGUACUGAGAAUCGUUCCUACUCCUGUCCCUCUCCCGCGAACCGCCUACUAGAGGCCCAACUUUAUCUUCUUUACUCCACCAUUAUCACAAGUCACAACUACCUCAACCUCAAGUGACAUGGAGAAACGAGAGUCAAUGACAAGGUCGACGGCAUGAAAAGCCAAGCAUGUACAGUAGAGGAUGCAUAUCAUGACCAUUGAACUAUCAACAAAAUGACAACCCCAAUCAUUCUUAUAAAGAGUCCCAUGGGUCAGAAUUUACAUGUAUUUUGGCAGGAUUUACUCCUUAGACAUUACACAGAGGUUUUUCUGGAAACUAAAGAUGAUGAACAAUACUCUUGUAGAAGCUAUGGAUGUUGAAAAAAAGACAAUUCAUCACCAGAAGGAAGAAAUGAUUGAGAGAGAGGACUUGGAAGAGCUGCAGAAAGCGGCUGAGGUUCACAGGAGGCUUCAACCAUGGAAGAAGCAGAUCACUGUCCGAGGUGUCAUUGUCAGUGUAUUCAUAGGGAGCAUCUACAGCAUCAUAAUUAUGAAGCUAGCCCUCACGGCAGGGAUCAAUCCACACCUCAAUGUCUCUGCUGCUCUUCUUGCAUUCAUCAUUGUUCGUACAUGGACAAAGCUGGUUCGAAAGGUUGGACUAGUUUCAGUUCCGUUCACCCCGCAGGAGAACACUAUGAUACAAACUUGUGCAGUUGCGUGUUACAGCAUUGCAUUGGGAGGUUAGAGCACUCUUACUAGUAAAGGACUGAAUUUAGUUUAUCUACUCUCUUAGUACUGUCUCUAAUUAUCUAUCCCUUUUGAUUUGUUUUCGGAUUUUCAGGCGGAUUUGGUUCUUAUAUGUUAGCUCUAAGUAAGAAGACGUAUGAACAGACAGGAGUAACCACUGAGGGAAAUCCUCCAGGCAGCUACAAGGAACCUGGGGUUGGUUGGAUGACCGGCUACCUAUUUGCAGUUUGUUUCAUUGGUCUUUUCGUGUUGAUUCCACUCCGAAAGGUAUACGUACGUGAAUAUGGCAUUUGUCUUUAUUAUUGGUUUUGUUCCUCUUCCUAAAUCUUUUGAACAUCAGAUAUGAUGCAAUUAGUAAAAUUUGACCUUUUUUUUAGCUCAAUUUUCCUCUAUUAGGGAAAAAUAUACAAAGUCGAAUUCUCAUCAUGCUGAUUUGUGUCCUACUCUUUAAAUAGCAGCACUGGAAUGGAUUGCAACUUUUGAAGAUUCCCAACUUUCUAUGAAACAUCGAUAUACUAGUAUACUUGUAUUUGUAUAUUCGAUAUAGAUGCAUGACCAAAUGAUGAAAGACUACUCAUCGUGUACAUCCAAUUCCACUCUUACAUAUUUGCUAUUGUUCUACUGUUGGACCACAAUAUGUACUUCCUUCAACAAGUUCUAGCAAAGAUACAAACAACAUUUUCUUUAUCAUUUACCUACGAGUUUCAACUUUCAAGUACUACUCUUUUACAAUUUAAAAGUCUUAGGAGUUCCUAUUGGUCUGCAGAUCUUGAUAAUAGACUACAAAUUGACCUUUCCAAGUGGCACGGCAACUGCUAUUCUGAUCAAUGGAUUUCAUUCCAUGGAUGACAAAAUGGCUAAGUACACCUUCUUUCUUUAAUAUAUAUAACAGCUAUCACGUACAGAAAUAUGUGCCUUUUUUAAAAAAAAAUAAACUAAUGUUGGUAAUGAUGACAUAUAAUUUUUUACGCUGCAGAAAGCAAGUACGAGGUUUCACGAAGAUGUUCUCUUUGAGUUUCUUAUGGGGAUUUUUUCAGUGGUUUUAUUCUGGACAAGGACUAGGAGAAUGCGGAUUCUCAAAGUUUCCUACAUUUGGAUUGCAAGCUCAGAGGCAAACGUACGUCUAUAUCAUGCAGCACUUAUAGUUAGUAACUUUCUGAGUAUCAUUGAAGUUGUUUGACUUGCUGAUACUUUGAUCUUUUUUUUGGGUUAGAUUCUACUUUGAUUUUAGCUUUACUUAUGUGGGAACUGGAAUGAUCUGUCCCCACGUUGUGAACCUGUCUAUGCUUCUUGGCUCAGUGCUCUCAUGGGGCAUAAUGUGGCCACUCAUCAAAAAGCAAAAGGGACAUUGGUUCCCAGAAGAAAUACCAGAAGUCAGUAUGAGAAGUCUUAAUGGUUAUAAGGUCUCUCUCUCCCUCUUUCUUCCACACAUAUCCACACACUGACAUAUUAUAUGUGCAUCUAAUGUGCAUCUGGCCUUAGUAUGUCUAUUUUCAUGGGGAUUCGACAUCAUGUUGGAUUAAUAAUUCAAUUCAAAUAUGAUCUCCUGGCAGGUCUUCAUCCCCAUUGCUCUCCUUUUAGGUGAUGGGCUAUACAAUUUCAUCAAGAUAACUUGUAUCACGGUUUCUAGCAUGUAUGCCAUGUUCAAAGGGAGAAAAAUCAGCUCAGGUAAAGUUACGAACAAACGUGUAAGGCUAUACCUGGAAGCAUUUUGUUCCUAAACUUUAUUCAAGCCACGCCUAUUUUUGGUUAAAGUGAUUAAAAAGAUUUUCAAGCAUCUCAUCGAACAUUAUACACCUGGAAUGUAAAUUUGAACGAUCUUGUGCAAUAAAAAGACUCUAAAAACUUUACAUUUCCUUUUGGCAGAGGAAAGUAACAAUAACGAUGCCAUUGAUAAUCGGGCACAAGAUGAGGUCUUCAUCAGAGAAAACAUUCCAAUGUGGAUAGCAGCAUGUGGGUAUAUAUCCCUGGGAGUCGUUUCAGCAAUCACCAUUCCCUUAAUCUUUCCUGCGCUCAAGUGGUACUAUGUUGUCGUAGCAUAUAUAUGUGCUCCAGCUUUAGCUUUCUGCAAUGCUUAUGGAGCUGGUUUGACGGACUUGAACAUGGGCUACAACUAUGGUAAAGUAGGGCUUUUUCUCAUUGCUGCAUUGGUUGGAAAAGAACACGGUGUUGUGGCAGGAUUAGCUGGGGCAGGUCUCAUGAAGUCAGUGAUUUCUGUUUCUUGUGUUCUGAUGCAAGAUUUUAAAACAGGACAUCUAACCUCUACGUCCCCUAGAGCAAUGUUUCUGAGCCAGGCCAUUGGUACAGCUACAGGUUGUGUGGUUGCACCGCUCAUCUUCUUCCUGUUCUACAAGGCAUUCGACGUUGGAAACCCCAACAGCGAGUUUAAGGCCCCCUAUGGUAUCAUUUACAGAAACAUGGCCAUUCUUGGAGUUGAAGGUUUUUCAGCAUUACCACGAUAUUGCCUGGAUCUCUGUUAUGGCUUCUUUGCCUUGGCGGUUGGCAUCAAUAUAGUGAAAGAUCUUUCUCCGGCGAGGAUCGGAAAAUGGAUGCCAGUGCCAAUGGCUGUGGCACUGCCCUUCUUAGUUGGGGCAUACGUCGCAAUUGACAUGUGCAUUGGAAGUUUGGUUGUGUUCGUGUGGCACAAACUUAACUCCAAGAAAGCAGAGCUGAUGGUUCCAGCAGUUGCUUCUGGACUGAUAUGUGGUGAAGGCCUCUGGGUACUGCCGGCAUCAAUUCUUGCUUUGGCCAAAGUCAAACCACCAAUUUGCAUGAAAUUCUUGGCUUCUUAGAAUUAGAGGAAAAUAAUUUGCAUUGUUGUUUAUAUGUCCAACAGAAAAAGGAUCUAGAUCUGAUGGCCCCAAUCCAAAUCCUGGACAUAACACCCUGGUAAUUUACUUGUAGUUUACCAUAAGAUACAAGGCAUCAAUAUAAAAUAUAACCAUAUAUUCCUUCCCAUAAUCUUAAUUUUUCUAAAUAUAUAGAAGUCACAAUUCACGUCAACCAUAACAUGGCUACAACAAAAGAAGCUUUCACUCCUACUCUAUUAGUAGCCCCCAAACUCGAUCAUUAUCAUCCUCAUGAGUAGUAAAUUAAUACCAUAAUUAUGUUUAUUUCAAAAUCCCAAAAAAAUAAAAAAAAAGAGAUUCGGAUAUUAUGUUCUCGAUCUCCACUAAUAAAAGUUUCAAUCUCAAAACUUGGCGUACUUUGGAAUCCAAAUAACUGCAGAUGCUGAUUUCACAUCUCUUCUUCAAUCUUUGAAGUCCUUGUUACUUUAAGGCCAUAGUCUUUUCACGUAGCUUGGUUUCUCACUUCCCUUGGAUAACAAACACCACAAUUUGUGGCAUAACUAACAAACACUACAGGCUACGUUGUAGGUUGCGUUUAGCAAAUAUUGAGGAUUGAGUUCCUAACCAUUGACAAGCUUAAGCCAUGACAAUACAAAGCCAAUAUAAUAUUGGUUUCUCUCUUCCUCAUCCCAGGCUCCUAACUAAUCUUCAAAUCCCUCUGUUAAAGCCUCAAAGGAGGGGUAUGAACAAUUACGACUCCAAACAAGUGUUCGAUUAGAUGGCUCAGAAGAGAUUUAGUUGUACAUUUAUAAUCUGCAUCUGCAUGCUUUUUUCCACAAUCUUGUUAGCUUAAUCCCACAUAAUUGCCCCUUGUCGGUCGUCUCCAUUUUUGCCAGAUUGACAUCUCAUUUUACCACUGUUUAUUUUGAUUCACCUGCAAUUUUGCAUAUAAAUCAGUUCAAGUAUGCAACGUCUUCUCUGUUGUCUGCACUUUCUUUUACAAGUUGCUUUUGCCCUCAAAAUUUCUAGUUUCCAAAAACCUCCACGCAUAUAAUCUACUGAAGUUCGUCUCAAUGAUCCCGUAACCAAUCAAAUCAAGUUUCAACAAGUUCUAGUGUUCGUUUGUGAAGCUCAACUCAUGAAGGCAAAGGAAAAAUAGUAGUAAUUCAGUACAAAAGAACCAAGCUACUCGAACUGAACUUGAGCAAUACCGAAAUUUCAACUUAAUUUAGUGUUAUUAAGAAGUCAAAUGCAUGUUUAAAACCCAACUGGAAGAUCAUCUUUUCAUGAUGAUCAAGAAUGCAAGUCAACAUUGAUCCUCGGUGAUUCCUAAGCAAUACUAUGAGCUUGGUACGGGCAAGUCUUUCAUAAGCAUUCGGCACUAAGUCAAAAACAUAUUGUACAGUUUAAAAGGACAAACUAGAAUCAUAAAGUGACUUGGGGUUGGAUUUUAGGCUGUGCAAACAAAUUCUGCAUCUAUUUCCGCCAAUGUUUUGAAACUCGGACUAUUAAUUGAACUCGCAAGCUGUUUGGGUCCAGACUCAACUGAUUGGACCGAUUCAACCCUCGUUCGAUGAAUUUUUUAAAAAAUAAUUUAUAUAAAUGUAUAUGUAUAAAAUAAGACAUGCAAUGGACUAAUUUAAAACUUUAUAUGAUGAAAAGUUUAAUAUUUUCAAAGAUCUUGGAUUUUCACAAAUAAAAAUUUUAAAUUAUAAAUUGUAACAAAUAAAUUUCAUCUCAGUCUCAAUUAUAUUUACCAAAAAAAAAAAAUCUUAAAUCCAACUCAAAAAUACCAUAAUAUUCUAAAAUUAUACAAAAUUCAUGUCCAUGGGAAUUAGACAUUGUGAAUUUAAAUUUUUAAUUCACAUUUUUGGAAUUUAGAGACUGCAAUUAAAAAAAAAAAGAAGAAGUUUGGAGUUUAGAAAAAAUCAGGAAAAUAGAAAAUAAAAAUGCAAUCUUGAUAAGAGGCAAAAAAUGAGAAGAAUGUAAGUGGUUGUGACAUUUAAUAAUUAGUCUUUAGGGUUAACGAAAACUUAUUCUUUUUAUAUAUAUUUUUCUAUUUAAUAGACAAAAACAAAAAAUCGCUGAUUGGUGGCUGUCAAACUACCAAAAAUCAAAUUUAUAUUAAACAUACUACCAAAACUGAAUGAGUAUAGCGGUGAGUAGGGUCGUCUCCUCAAGAAACUGGUAGAUUUAUCACACAAGGUGAUUGGGGGAUUUUUGGAAAAGGGAGAGAUAAGUAAAACAAAUUAAAGUAGUAAAAUGACUAAAUAAACAAUCGCAAUAAAUGUAAUAUGAUAGGUUGCAAUUUUAUCAUUUAUUUUAUUAUUAAUUUUUCCCAUUAUCUGACCCGAUGUGAAUUAAUUGCUAGAUUCUACUCACUUUUGAUAUUUUACAUUUAUUUCAGGGAGUAGAACGAAAAUAUCAUAAUAAGUGUUAAUUUGUCAAUCAUUAGGAAGGAGUUCAAGUAGCAAGCGUUCAGGAGCAUUUUUGAAAUAUUAAGACGCGACCCUUUUUGAUAAUUUGUGGAAGACAGCACUGGAAAAAAGAAAAGGGAACAAAAAACCGAAGUCUUCCUCACCGUUGGGGGGCGGCCGCACAGUAGCAAUAGGCUACUUAGAUACCAAAUGGAGAUUGCAGGAUUAGCACUAUCUUGGGAGAGCUUUUGCUCUUUGACUUUUCUUUUGUUAGCUUAGGAGUAGCUUCAAUUCACGCAUGUCAGGAGAACAUUAGAAACCUUUGACUUUCCUUUUCGGCUUCUAGUAACUUUUUCUGCCUUCGUAUGAUGAGAUGAAUAGAAGACAUUAAAUCAUCCUCUGUAACUUUGCUUUUCCUUAUUCCUUCGAUCGAAUUGAAUUUGCCCAUUUUUCAAUCAAUGGCCGAUGCUUUCUCUUCGAGUUCAUGUGGGUCUUUUGUAUCGGAGAUGAACUAAAUUUUUGUUUCUAGUCAAAGAACAACAGAUGCUUUGAUUCGCCUAAAAAUUGUGAGAUCGAUUUAAUUUUCUCUUUUUCUUUUAUUUAUUAGUAUUCGCAUAUUCCUUGAUUGCAGUACUUAUGAUUAAUUAAUUGUCUUGGAUCCGGAUAAUUAGUUAACUUGAUAAUCUAUUGUCAAUUAGGAUAUUAAAUUCGUAAUUGUUUAAUUGCCUCAAAAUAGUGUCAACUGGUAUGAUUAAAUUUAUGUCAGAGGAAUACGCGGACUAAUCUAAAAUAACUCUGAUAGUGCGUUAUUUGGUUAGAAUAGGACUCAUCUAAUACGUAAGACAAUUGAAAAAUUAAAUCUUACGGGCGUAUUUAAGAUUAUUUCUCAAUUAGGCAGUGAUUAACGGGCGUACCUUAAUCACCGACACAGUAAGGAAGGGUUGAUUGUCAUCGCUUGUUUGACAGUUAUAACCUAUUUAUUAGUAAAUAAUUGGAAUUGCCUUUGUUUCAAUGAUCAAUUAGGUGAACUAUUGCUGAAGUUAUUUUCUGACUAGAUCAUUAGUUAUCAUUCAUUUGACUUUAGUAAAUUGUUAUUUAAUUUUUAGUAGUUUUUUGAAUUUUAUUUGCAUUUAUUUGAUUGUCACCUUCUACGCAAAAAUACUCCCUGAUUACUGUGAAUUUGAAAAGAAACAGUUACACCCAAUCCCUGUGGAUUCGACCCUACUUACCACUAUCUACAAAAAUUAACUUUAGUUGAACAGAUUUUUAUUAUUGCAUAGGCCCGACACCUGCUACAAUAACUCAAGAAUGAAAUAAACAAUUGAUUGACACAACCUAGUCAAGGAGAUAAUCUUGACAUCGGUUCACACAAUUGAUCAUAGAUACCUGGAUUAAUUCACACGUUCAUAAAUAAAUUGGUUCUAGCAAUUUAGCAACUGCCAAACUCCCAAUCUCUCCUUAAUUUUACAGUAGUCCAGAAACACUCUUAAACUACCCUCUUAUAAAAUAGAUAACCCCAGAGAUGCUCGAAGGAUUUAAUCUAUUCACAACUUUAGGAAUUAGAGAGACCCAAUUCUAUUUAAUAAAUACACAUGCGGGUUCAUUUAAAUUAGAUUAAUUAUUCCCACGACCCAGAUUAGACUGUUUGCGAGGCAAUGAAAUUGUGCUGUUCGCCACUAAUUUAAGACAUUCAAAUGAUACGCACCCCUGUUCUAAUUGCCAAUAUAUUAUUUAGAUAAUUGAACAACUGGCCACAUUGAUUUAAUAAAUCCAAACAAUAAUAGACUGUUAAAAUAGAGAAUAAUUAAAUACUCACAAACGCUGAAUUUAAAGCAAUCAAAAAGAUCUCACAGUUAUUUGUGCACCGGACCUUGAUUAUUUCUCAACUAGAUAAACAGGUUUAGCCUGAUCUCAUGCUGUUCAUGCGAUAGAAAACUUCAAAGUAAUUUCGUUGUUCAAAAAGUAAAAGUUGCGGCCGCUAGUCUACUAACUUGCGUUAGGAAGAAAAGAAAAACAAAGAGAAAAGUCAACAAGAUUCCAAAGAUGCCUUCCUAAUUUGUUGCUGUCUUCUUUUUAAAGUCCUCGCUGUCGCCCCCUUGCUUUUCGAUUUGGAAUUUGUUUAUCAAAAGGAUUGUUUCCUUAUUUCUCUCAUCAAAUUGUUACUAAAAGUCUUCUUUGACUCUAUUUCCUAAUCCCACACAGGUUCAGAAUUUGUUUCUAAAGAAUAGCGAAAGCUCCAGGUAUAGGACCUGCAGUCAGUCUUUUUCACGCAGUUCUGCGUUAUCUGGCGUGGACAUGCCAGAGAAUGCCUAGUCCUCUGAAAUUUGCCCUUUUUUUGUCACUUUCAACACCACUCUCCUGCAAAUAAUACAAAUACCAAAUAUGGGCAGAAAUUCAAUGUCUUGCAUAAUAAGUGAUCAAAAUUAAGAUCAGAUAACAGUGAAUAAAACGCACAAUUAUAUCAUUAUCACCGAUUCAACAGUUCAAUCCGAUUUGCACGGUUCAAAUGGUUUUUAUUGGUUUUUGAAUCUAGUUGACCCGAGGUAUGAAUCGGACUAGAGCUAUGAUCGGUUCAUGGUCCAACUGGCCCGUCCGGUCUUCAAAACAAUGAUUUAUGCUUGUACAAGUCAUUGCAGCUUGCAAGUAAGAGAAACAACCAAGGGGAGUCUCCCCAAAGGGGACUGAAGAGGUGAUUUUUGGUAGAUUACUAAAUCGACCUGAAUCAGUCUUCUCUCAAGUGAGAUGCGAUGAAUUCGCUUGCUCGAAGUGAAUGGCGGGGCUUCUCCCCUGAUAUCACUCCGACGAACAAAGUCAGUAUAUAGUGAGGGAAUGAAGAGUAAUGAACAGUAAGAAGGCAAUAGUGUGCUUACUUGUUGGGAGUGAAUAGGGGGUAUUUAUAGGGCAGGAAUGGAGAACAGAGUGGGCUUAUGCUAGCGGGACCUACGCCCUGGCCAUUAUGGCUCUGUCCCAUACCAGGGGGUCUGACUCUGACAUUAUAACAGCCUGGACAUGCUGACAAGGAGUCCCGUAUAGUAGUCAUUUAAGAUCAUCAGACGCUUUUCAGAUAAAGUACUGGUUCUGUAUUGUGUCAGGUAGGUUGAUAUCAUCAGUGUGCAGCCGAGGUGGAAGACCUAAGGUGCAGAGGUCAUCCAUGCCAUAGACCAGAGAUUUGGCCGGACCCAGGGGUCACGUCUAAGGGACAUCAUCUCGGCUUGUAUGACGAACGAAGUGGGAAGAUCUCGGUCUUGACGGUGGCCGAGGUGAGCAUUCUCAAUAAACCCCCCAAACCUCGGGGGCAUAGUGGUUCAUGGGGUAUCGAGACUUCCUUGUGCCGAAACCGUUCAGAUUUCGGGAUCCGAACCUGUUUCGGAAGAUGAGGGGCGUGACACGUGGACAGGUCAAUUGAAAGGAUGCGGGGGACGUGACGUAGUGUAGAGGGACGUUUCGUGCAAAGAGGGUGUCAGUUGAAAGGACGGGACAUUAAUGAGGAGAGAGAGAAAGACGUUAUUUUGAAUUUGAACGUGACCGCCUUUUCACAUUCUUGCCGCCUCUUCGGAUUCCCUCUAACCCCUAUAAAUAGGGGGUUCUUUUCUCCACACCACCCAUCAUUUCCUAUCUUUACCUCAUACUUUGCAAAUUUGUGAGCGUUGCUGAGGUCAGUUCCUUCAGUUGAGGUCUUCGUUCUCGUCCGAUUCCCUAGUUAAUAGUAAGUAUUUUUCUUUUCAUCUCAUCUUUCAUACAUGGUUAGAACGGCUAAAAUCCAUAAAAAAAUCGUAACGCCGAACUACCAAGUCGAGGAAAGGCUCGACCCCUCGGAAGACGGGGCCUCGUCCAGUUUUGAAGAAUCAACGUACAGUGCCGUGGAAGAAACUAUCGAGACCGCCCCAGAAGCGGAAUCUUCCGAGAUGAGUGAGGAUGGUUCCGAGGUCGUAUAUAAUGAUGAUCUUAGAACAGAAAUUCCUCACGAUGAUGGCGUACUGGAGCCAGUCGCUCCAUGGACGUCUCCAGCAUUGACUUCGGCAAGAUGCCGAUGUACAGGAGCUGCGUUGGAAGAGAUAGGGCUGAGAAGGUAAUACGAAAAUACCCCUUCAAAGCGAGGGUAUGUCAUCAAAUCGCCCGGAAUGAACCACUUGGCCGAAAGGCCACCAAUGGGCACAAUGGCGAUCUACUUGUAGCAGUUAGAGGCCGGGUUGAGAAUGCCGACGUCGAGAUUUUUCAGGGACGUACUCCGGUACUUUGGUAUUAGGAUCACUCAACUCACCCUGAACGCUGUUCGUAUUUUGGUGGGGUUCGAGAUGCUAUGCUGACAUCAAGAGGUGACCCCCACCGUUAAUCUCUUCCAUCGGUGUUACACCUUCAAGGCUCAUGGGACGGAUAAGGGGUGAUUGUACAUCUGCAACCGGAACAAUUCCAUCCGACAAGUCGUGGUCGACGCUCCCAUUUCGAUAAAGAAUUGGAAGUGCGACUUCGUCUUCGUCACCGCCGAGGACUUCCCUUGGGGUUUCUGGUGAAAGCCGCUUAAGUUGAAAAUCGACCCUUCCCCGAGGGAUCAUGAUGAAGAGGCCUUCCAGAAGCUGAUGGGGUUAGGGUUUCAGAUCAAUUGUUUUGGGACUACCCCGAGACAGUAUUGGUCGACGAGGGGAUUAGUCGACCCAUGAUCGACCCUGAGAAACCUCCCUUCUUUUUCACUAGACUUACGAAGCCUUGUAACUUUUCUUUCUUAGUUUUCUUUUCACUUUGGCUGUUACAAAUAAUAAUGUUUGCUCCUUGUGUAGUGGUUAAAUUGUCCGAUAUCAUAACCUCCGGCUCGGCCGAAGUGGCCAAGAGGUCGAAAGGGAAAAGCUCGGACGAGAUAUCGGCACCACCGUCGAAAAAGAAACCUCAAGGGCCAGUUGUCAAGACUAAAGUGGCCAAGAGCACUUCGGCCAAGACAGCCAAAAGCAGUUCGGCAGCAGCAGCUAUGGAGUUCACCUCAUCAGUGUCGGAAGGGGUGGCAACUCAAGGAAUCACAGUUGCUUUACCUCCUCAUGGCCGAGGCAAACAGUUGAGGCCCCUAGUCAAUCCGAUUACGGGGUCCUCGCUAUGGAACCGUUUCCAUAGCCCCCCUGUGUUUCUUGGGGAAAACAAGACGCGCCCCGGUGAGCAUUGGUGUCCGGAUUGGAAGCUCUCGGUCAACGACAGAUGCACCCAAUCUCGGACCGUACAGGAGUUAGUGAUGCACUCGAGCUUGCCGAGGGACGUAAAAUUUAUAAGGAAACUGACUCCGGUUGAGGUGGUCCAAAGCCUCUUGGUCGCCACGGCCUCCACCACAGCAUUUGUGGCCGAGAUGGCUCACGAUAUUGUGGCUUGGUCGAGGAGCAGGAUACCGGCAAGAUCUAAGAUAAAAUAGAGAAGUUGGAGAAGAAACUGGUCGUGUCGGAGAAGACCGAAUUUCAAAGCCGGUUGCAACAAGUUGAAGCGAAGGAGGAGGAAGGCGAGACUACUAUGAACAGCCUCAGGUCGACUCUUGAGGAGGAGCAGAAAAGGAGGGAAGAGGUAAAGAAGUUCCACGAGCAGGCAUUCGAGGGUGCUGGGGCCUUGGCUAUGGAGGCAUUCCGGAGGUCCGAGACCUUCCCUAAGGACCUCGGAGAGUUGACCAUGCCAAGCUUUAUGUUCGGCUACACAUCCGCUAUUGACGAGGUUGCUCCUCAUCUCUCCUUCGAGGUCUUGGAGUUCUUGAAGAACAAAAUUCAUUACAAUGAGGACUCCAAGAAGCUGUGCGAUCGGCUAGCCGAGGGCAUCCAAACUGGACGAAACUUGGCUGAGAUCCGAGACGAAUUCAACAAAUAGCUAUUCAAGCUCGAUGAGGUGUUCGAGGAGGAAGAGGGAGGAGAAGAGGCUAACUUCAGCGAGAAAGAAUCUCGCGAGAAGAUCGGCGAUGAGCACGAGGAAGGAGAAGAAACUCAUCUCGGUAGGAAAGAGGCUGUCGAGAAGACCGGCAAAGGAGUCGGGAUCGGGGUCUAGGCUAGUGGAGGAAAAGGGAAAUACCGAGGUGGAAGAUGCUUAGUAGCGCUCCUGACCUCGGUUCCUGUAUUCUUUUUGUAAUGUCCUUUUCAUGAAAUGAACUUUCUAUUUCUUCUUACAUCUGGUCUUUUCCUUUUUCACUUCGUCCACUGCUUGUACCCCUUAUUUUUUAAUAACGGGUAUGGUAUCAAGAUAUUAAAAAAUACCAAAGUGGCUCAAAGAAUAAUUCGUUAAAAUUCUCAAGCAUAAUACAAUCUAAAGUUUUCAGCGUGCCAAAUCCUCGGUACUAGGGAACCAUUUCGAUAGUUUAAUUUACAAUAUCCAUUUAGGUUACAUUCCAUGACUCGAUAGGGGCCUUCCCAUCUUGGCGAUAAUUUUUCUUGUGGUUCAGUUCGGCUGACCGAGUUUUUCCUGAGAAUUAGGUCUCCUGGUUGGAAUCGGCGGUGUUUCACAUGAGCAUUGUUGUAACGAUCCAAUGUGUUCUUGUAUGAAGCAACCCGAGUUGAGGCGACGUCUCUUUUUUUUUCGACGAGGUCGAGAUCCAACUGUCUCUAUCCGUCAUUCAUCUCGGCUGCGUAUGCUGCCAACUGAGGUUUGGGCGUGAGUAUCUCAGCAGGGAUGAUCGCCUCGGUGCCGUAAGUUAAGGAAAAGGGGGUCUCUUGCGUGGCCGACCUCGGCAUAGUACGAUAAGAUCAGAGGACACUAGGGAGUUCUUCUGCCCAUGAUGAUCCAACUUGGUGUAGUCAGGUCUUAAACCCAUGCAAGAGAGUUCGGUUAAAGUUUUCGGCCUGACCGUUGGCCUGGAGGUGGUCUACCGAAAUGAAGUGCUGUUUGAUGCCGAGGUCCUUGCAGCAGUGUUUAAACGAAUUCUCAGCAAACUGCUUCCCAAUAUCUGAAAUGAUGACCCCAGGUAUGCCGAAACGGUAAAUGAUGCAUUUCCAGAAAAAUUUUUGGACCUCCAACCCUGUGAUAGUCCUUAGAGGCUCGGCCUCGACCUAUUUAAAGAAGUAGUCCACAGCGGUCACAAGGAAAGUAUACCUUCCUAUAACUUUAGGGAAAUGACCGAUAAUGUUUGUCUCCCAUUACUCGAACGACCAGAGUGAGGUGAUAGAGACCAUGAGGUUUGUGGGUCGGUGGUGCUCGGGGGCAUGAACCUGGUAGGAAUGGCAACCGAGAACAAGGUCUUGGGUAUCUUGUCGAAUAGAGGGCCAGAAGUACCGGAGAAGUAGAGCAUUUUUAACCAACAUUCUGUGGCCGACAUGGGCCCCACAUAAGCUUUCGUGUAUCUCGUGGAGGAUUUGGUGUCUUUCUUUGGGUGUAAUGCAUUUCAGCCACGAGCCAAGGUAGGAUCGUUUAUACAGCUCCCCAUCGCGGAGUGCAUAUCGAGCAGCUUUGCGUUGGAUCCUUCUUGUUUCGGCUCGGUUCUCAGGAAGGAUUUCCUGACUUAAGAAGAGGAUGAACGGGCUCAUUCAGGUGUAUCCCAGGUGUACUUGGCAGGCCGUCCCUUCCAUGUAUCCUGAUUCGUUCAGCACUUCCACUAGGACCGUUUUGUUAAGGUCGAAAAAUGAUGUGGAAGCGAGUCGGGAUAAGGCGUCGGCCCGCCUAUUCUGCGACCGGGAUAUUCUUUGAAUUUCAAAAGACUCGAAGUAUGCGGUGAGUUGGUGAACUUUGGACAGAUACCAUUGUAUGGUCUCAUUCUUGGCUUCAUUUUCACCCAGGACUUGACAUACUGCAAGUUGGGAGUCGUUGCAGACAUGGAUCCGUCGAGCACCAAGUUUGCGGGCUAGCUGAAGUUCCGCAAUCAAGGUCUCGUACUCGACUUCAUUAUUGGUGAUUGGGAAGUCGAAGUGGAGAGCAUACGAGCACACUUCUCCGUGAGGGCCCUCCAGGAGCAAUCUUGCGCCGCUGCCAUUUCCAUUAGAGGAUCCGUUCACAUACAAUGUCCAUAAGUGCGGCUCGGACAUAUCGGAUAAGGCGGAAGUGGCAUCUCGGCUCUCCAAAAAGGUGAGCUAGGCAAAAAAGUUUGCUAAUGCUUGAACCUUGAUAGCAGUUCGCGGCUCAUACGACUGAUUGGACUCUCCCAAUUCGACAGCCCACUUGGUAAGGCGCCUAAAAGUCUCGGGACACACCAAUAUCUGCCGAAAAGGCUGAUCUGUCCUAACGGAGAUGGGAUGAACUAGAAAAUAGGCCUUCAGCCGCCGAGCUGCAUGGACUAAUCCUAGCACGAACUUCUCCACUUGAGUGUAGCGAGUUUCCGGCCAACGGAGAGCUCGGCUGACAUAGUAAACGGGUAUUUGAGUGCCCUCAUCUCGGAUGAACACAGCGCUGAUAGUUUCGUCAGCCACAGAGAAGUAGAGGUAUAGUCUUUUCUUAGGUUGAGGUGAAGUGAGAGUGGGGAGACGGUGUAAGUAUUCCUUCAAUUCGGCAAAAGCUUGCUGGCACUCUUUGGUCCAGAAAAAUUGAUCGAUCUUUUUCAACACCUUAAAAAAGGGUAGGGCCUUUUUGGCAGAUUGGAAAAGAAAACGGUUCAGAGCGGCCAGGCGGCCAUUCAACCUCUGCACUUCUCGGAUAUUCUGAGGUGGGGAUAUUUCUUGGAUAGCCUUCACUUUAUCGGGGUUUGUUUCAAUAUCUCGGCGGGAUACCUGGUACUCCAAGAAUUUUCCCGAAGUGACACCAAAAAUGCAUUUCUUCGGGUUUAGUAUCAUCCGGGAUUUUUGAAGGAUGCCAAAACUUCCUUUAUGUCGGACAGGAAGGUUGAAGUGGUUUGAUUUUUCAGAAGGAUGUCAUCCAUGUAAGCCUCUACAUUUCGGUCGAUUUGAUCUCUGAAGACGUAGUUGACCAGCCUCUGAUACGUGGCUCCGGCAUUCUUUAACCCGAAAGGCAUUGUUGUGUAAUAAUAAAUACCUCGAUCGGUGUAGAAUGUCGUUUUCUCUUGAUCCUUCUCGCUCAUCCCUAUUUGAUGGUAUCCUUUAAAAGCGUUGAGGAAGCAGAUGAUCUCAUGUCCCAUGGCCGAGUCGAUGAAGGCGUCAAUUCUCGGCAGUGGAUAGCAAUCUUUUGGACAGAUCUUAUUAAGAUCGGUGAAAUCCAUACACAUUCUCCACCCACUGACGUCCUUUUUGAUCAUGGCGGGAUUGGGCAGCUAGGUGGGGUACUGGAUUUCUUUGAUUAUUUUGGCUGGUAAGAGCUUGUUCACUUCGCCAGAAAUGGCUUUGCUGCGCUCAGGGCCGAAGUGCCUUCGUUUUUGCUUUACCGGUCUGGCACGCGAAUCUACAUUAAGUCGGUGGAUCAUGAGCUCGGGUGGCACUCCAACCACUUCGUCGGCCACCCAGGUGAAGACAUCUUGAUGCUCCUUGAUGAGGCUGAUCACCUCUUUCUUGAGGGGUGAAGGGAGGCUGGCUCCCACUUGAAUCACUUGGUCAGGCCUUACCUCGUCCAAAAUCACGUCCUCCACCUCGUCUCCGAGCUCAAUCUUGCUUGGCUUUCCAGUCUUCUGAAGAUCAAUACUGUCUAUGGAGAGGAUAGUUGGCCUCUUCUCCUCAGUCUUUGACACAGUUUGGGGAGUGAUCGCGGCCUGGAUGGUGGCCAGGUAACAUUCUCGGGCGGCGUUCACGACGCUCACCUCGUCUCUGAGCACAAUCCUGCUUGGCUUUCCGGUCUUCUGAGGAUCAAUACUGUCUAUGGAGAGGACAGUUGGCCUAUUCUCCUCAGUCUUUGACACAGUUCGGGGAGUGAUCGCGGCCUGGAUGGUGGCGAGGUAACAUUCUCGGGCGGCGUUCACGUCGCUGUUUACCUUGAUCACCCCCGCAGGUUUUGAAAACUUGAAACUCAGGUGGUAGGUGGAGUACACAGCCCUCAAGGCGUUGAGCGUGGGCCGCCUAUUAACAUGUUAUAUGGAAAAUCUGUUUUGACAACCGUAAAGCUAACGAGUAUAGUUCUGCAGCGGGGGUGUCGCCCAAUUGUCACAAUCAGGAAUACCAUUCCCUCUGGGUGGGCCACGUGUCCCCCGAAAUCGAUGAGGAGGGUCUUGACAGGGGUGAGCUGAUCUCUGAUCAGUUUCAAGCUUUCGAAGGUUUAAUAGUACAAGACGUCUACCGAACUGCCGGGAUCGACAUAGACCUUCUUGACUAUAUAAUUAUUGGUGAGUAUUUCAAUCACGAGGGGUUCGUGGUUGCUGGAGGCAGCAGGGACUGGGUCACUGGGACCAUAAGUGAUCACCUCGGAUAGCUGCGAGUUCGGUUCGGCAACCUCCAGACCGGCUUGACGGUAGGUCCGCUUCCGGAAGUUCUGGCUGUCUCCUCCCGUCGGACCACCCACAAUUGUAUUGAUGACCCUGCAAUGUUAGGGUCGUAGCCCGGUGACCCGUCUCGUGGAGGCCGCUGGUCCUCCCUAUGUUUUUUGAGCCCACGGCAAUGACUCUUUGUGUCUCGCCAGUCCUCUCGGCGAGGACCUCGGUUGCCUCGGUGGGAGGCACUUCGGUUGAAGCCUCCAUCCUUGCGGACGAAUUGCUUCAAGUGUCCCUGCCGGAUCAAGUUCUCGAUUUCUCUCUUCAGAUCGUUGCAGUCCUCGAUCUCGUGCCUAACAUCUCGGUGGUAGGCACAAUAGAGGCUGGAGUUCCUCUUCUCCCUCAUUCCCAGAAUCUCAGGAGGGACUCAACCGAGGUGGUUCUGCCUCAUUACAGUCAGAAUGUGAGACCGACUGGAAUUGAGGGGAGUCAGCUCAGCGUCCGAGGUGGACGACCUCCUCUUCACGAUCCUGUCAAAGACACUCCGGCGAUUUCGGAAUUGACUCGACGAGCCACUGGGGCCCUAUUCGAUUCAGCCGGUUUCUUUCUUUCUCCGGGAUUCCUGCCCAGUACGGACUGCUUGGGCUUCCCGUUUCAUGCGGUUUAGGUUCUCACUUCUGAUUUCUCGGUCUACCCGUUCCCAGAGUUUCUGAAGUGAACAGGAGUAAUCUCGAUGUAUUUCAGUGUGGAAGGUUCAUGCGGUCAACCAGUUGGUGAAGGCAGCUAUGGUUACCUGCUCAUUUUGAUCAGGUAUCUGCAUAUUUUCUUCAUUGAACCUCUGCACAUACGAGCGCAGUGACUCCCCGGGAGCCUGCUUUUGAUUCAAGAGGUAGGCUGAAGUCUUCGUAACUGGACGAGACGAUAUAAAGCGGUGAAUAAAUCUGUUUACCAACUCGUCCAAUAAGGAAAUGCUUCUUAGUUCCAAGCCCCAGAACCAUUUUUGAGCUGUCUCUUGUAGAAAAAUGGGGAAAGCUCAGGAAAUCAUGGCGUCGGGGACGCAGUAGAAGCGGAAUGCCGAAAUGAAUGCGCGGAGGUGAUCCUCAGGAUCAUUUCGGCCAUCGUAGGGCUGUAAUACCGAGAGUUUGAAGUUUGGGGGAACCAUUUCCCUAUUAAUGUCAUCGGUAAAGGGCGGAGCCCUCAUGUAAUCAGUUGCUAGCCUUCCAGGGUGCCGAGACGUGUCCUCAACUCAUCUUCCCAGUAAACUUCGGGAAAACGCCUGGAAAAUAGAGGCAAUUUUGGAGAUCGCCUUGAAAGAGGUGCGCCUGGAAGUACUCCGGGAGAGAUACCAAUUGUCAGAGUCCUCAUUUGAAGGCAUCUCAGGUGAUUUCGUCGAUCUCCUCUUGGAGGAUUCAACCGUUUCUUUUCCUUGUCUCUUAAAGUACCUCCCUAGUGCUUCGAAGAUAUUGGGAUUGUCUGCUACGAAUUCGGCCAUCCUGGCGAUGGCAUUUUCGUUUGCGGGUUGGGUCCUCGGGGACCCUUGUUCCUUGGAGACGUGAUCUUGUUGAGCAGCUGAGGCUUGCUCAACCCCGGUUGAGGGAACUCUUCUGCUCUUAGAGCGCGUAGGUCUCAUUUUGCAGUAAUCUUGUUCACAUAGAUGGUGCCAAUUGAAGAGGUGAUUUUUGGUAGGUUACUGAACCGACCUGAAUCAAUCUUCUCUCAAGUGAGGUGCGAUGAAUUCGCUUGCUCGAAGUGAAUGGCAGGGCUUCUUCCCUGGUAUCACUCCGACGAUCAAGUCAGUAUAUAGCGAGGGAAUAAAGAGUAAUAAACAGUAAAAAGGCAAUAGUGUGCUUACUUGUUGGGAGUGAAUGGCGGGUACUUAUAGGGCAGGAAUGGAGGACAGGACGGUGGGCUUAUGCUAGCGGGACCCACGUCCUGGCCAUUACGGCUCUGUCCCAUACUAGAGAGUCUGACUCUGACACUGUAGUAGUCUGGACAUGCUGACGAGGAGUCCCGUACAGUAGUCAUUUAAGAGUAUCAGGUGCUUUUCAGAUAAAGCACUGGUUCUGUAUUGUGUCAGGUAGGUUGACAUCAUCAGCGUGCAACCGAGGUAGAAGACUUAAGGUACAGAGGUCGUUCAUGCCAUAGACCAGAGAUCUGGCCAGACCCAGGGAUCACGUCUAAGGGAUAUUACUCGGUCUAUAUGACAAACGAAGUGGGAGGAUCUCGGCCUUGACGGUGGCCGAGGUGAGCAUCCUCAGGGACCAAGUUCCUUACUGAGCUCACCCUAUUAUACUGGGCAACAAGGCACAUAGAAGAAGAGAAUCAUCCGCAUCAACAAGUUGCUUGUAUCUAAUAAGGAGAAGAUGGUUUUCUUAUCUAAAUUGAUCUUGAGUCCUAAAAUCAAGAUUGCCUCAACUUAGCACUUCAAAUUAACAUAUUUCAAGUUCAAUGCGAUAUGUAAAGUAUAAACCGCGUGCCGUGAUUUAAACUUUCUUCUUGUUUUACUGGACGUGGGAGUAACCACCACAUAUUUUUAUUGAAGCAACCAUUACAUACUCGUAAAAAGAAUCAACCUACGGAGAAUAAGUUUCUUUAAUAUGCCAAGGCAUAUGCUGUUCUGCUCCUAGACACUGACGAGACCAAGAAUCAAUUCUCAUCAUUGUUAAUGUAGCACCCCUGUUUCUAAGUUCCUUCGAAUUAAUGGAAUGAUGUACCAAGAAAAAAAAAAUGAAGGGAUGCCAGUAUUUAUCCAACAUAUCAGACGACCUUUGAUUUACCUUAGCAAAUUUUGCAACCAUUUUGAGAGGCCAUUUUAGAGAAAUAACUGUUAACACUAAUCGCGGAUAAUUGUAGCCAGUAAACAGAAAACAAAGGAGUCUCUUUUCUUCUUUUUUCCCCUUUUUCCCCCUUUCUGAAUUCAAAGAUAUGCUAUUGCUGGCUGUUGUUUUUCCUUGGAAUAUAUCGAACCUAGCCAAGUCUGCUCUGUAUUUUUGAAGCUUCAGCAACAAUUUAGCUUCUAGGAAGAACUCAAGACCAACUGGAGUUUCAAUCAAAUGACAAAAUUCUAUCAUGGAUUGCACUAAAAUUUCACUGCACUUCAUAGCCAUAGCUAUGCAUAAAAGUACAUUCAUCCAUUUGGACUCAUAAACAGUAAAUAAAUCAAUUCAUCUCAACAUGGUAACAAUGAACUUUACAUUCCUUUCUCAGCAUCUAUGAUCUAUCGUUCAACCAUUUUAAGAUAUCUCCUCUUACAAUUUCAAUAUUCUCAUCAGGUUCCCCAUAC